This 61800-nucleotide long non-coding RNA is filed under the name Zostera marina. Its description in RNAcentral is "long non-coding RNA (ZMAR_LNC005393)". The record is from RNAcentral. Lineage: Eukaryota; Viridiplantae; Streptophyta; Magnoliopsida; Alismatales; Zosteraceae.
UAGAGAGAAGUUGCAACGGAAUCGGAUCGACGGAGGUGUCGAGCACUCGAGCCUGUGCAGAAAGAGAGGAGGGGAGAUUCAAGAUUGGGUUCGUUCUUUUUCCAUCUCGUUCGUCUUUAUCGUUGAACUGGUCGAAUUCUAGGGUUUUAGCUUCUGUAAUGUCGAACGACGAUCGGACUUUUCGGCUGAGUUUCCCCGAUGAAGGGAUAGUCAGGCUCCGUGAGUUUCCACCACCAGACAUCUCUUUUGAAGUUGUCUCUCUUUCCAACGGGUUAUCGGGUAUGGGUAAAACCAAUGAAAUUAACUAAUGAGGGGCAAAUUUGACACACCCUAACCACCUAACACCUAGGUUUGGUGGUUAGUUUUGACCACCAAGCCAUCUUAGGUGGUUAGAAAUGAAACUCAUCCAUAUAUGAAUAAUACAAUUAGAGUUGAUAUAUAAGACACUAUGGUGAAAGAUGUAACAUGCUAUUGGUAGAGAUAAAGGUUAUGUGUUUGAUGUGUGCGUGAGUGACAAUAUAGAGUCUAAUGAAUGUCAUGUGACGGGUGGAGAUGCAUUCAGCAAAUGAUGACACAUUUUGUCAUAGCACACUAGAAAUUAACUGUGUAUAUAUGGUGUUAAAGCUCGAUGGGUUUGGCCCAACCCUAAAGUUUAAGUUUAUUAAGCUUAAGGAGUCGAGUUCGAAUUUGGACAUUCCAAACUCGAUUCGUUUCGUUAAGCUCGAUGUGUUCGGUAAGGAGUAUAAAAAAAUAUUAUAUUUAAAGACAAUGAGGAUGUAGCAUAGAUAGUAAAACGUUUGCUUAGCAUACAAGAGGUUUCGGGAUCGAUCUCCCAUGUCUUCAAAUUAUUUUUUUUAACAUACAUGUUAAGUUCGAGUCUGGGCUCGAGCCUGACAAUUCUUUAAACGAGCCGAGCCCGAACUUGGCUAAACCAGGCUCGACGAGGUUGAGCCCGAGCCUAGAUAACUCUUUAACGAGCCAAGUCUGGAUCUAUAAGCAAAAGCUCGACUCGGUCUGACACCCAUAUAUGUGUGUUUUGAUUUUAAAAAUAUAAAGGAUUAAAAAGGGUAAUGGAAAUGUAUUAAAUCUUUAAAACAAUAAACAUUAAUAUAUGAAAUCAACAAUUUUCAAGAAAGGUUUUACCUUUGUAAGGCUAGUAAAGGUUAUUCCAUACUAGCCGUUUAAUUUUUUGUCUAUCAAUGUGGACCUCUCAAUUUAAAUUGUUACCUACUUGCUAUGUAUUUUGUUUUUAGUAAUAUGUUAUAAACUACAAGUUUAAUGUAUUCUAUUUAUUUAUCAAUUUUUGACCCAUGUAGGUACUUUUUUCCACACUAUACUAAGACAAUGUAUUUUUUAUAUCAUCUAUUUUUUCUCUCCUUCUUAUUUUUUUCUCUCUUCUACUCUUUGCAAACCCAUCCUAAUCUUUUUAAUUACCAAAAUGUCUACUGAAAAUAUCGUCAUCCAAUUAGUUUAUAUGUUUUUCUGAAUUUUUUUUACGUUUUCAUUGGGAAUAUUUUUUUGUCAUUCGUCAUUCUGAAAAUAUUUUUUUUCUGAAUUUAAUAUCCUCUUCUUUUUUUUCUGAAUUUAAUAUCCUCUUCUUUCAACAAAUGUGAACUUCGAAUCAACCUACAUACUGACUGACGAAACAAGGUUCACCGACAAUCCAUACUUACGUCCACUCAUAAUGGAUAUAGGACAAUCUAUUUCAACAAUUACUUUCUACCACCAAAUUAUAUGGAUAUAGGACAACAUUCAUAAAGGGAAUAUUAGAGGUGUUAUCUACAACCUCCUUAAAGACAAUUAUAGCAACCUCCGUAGAGGGAAUAUUUACAUCCUCCGUACAAGUAAGAACAUUUGAAACCUCCUUAGAGGCAGUAGAGUGGCCAUAAUAGCGACCUCAGGGGAGGCCAGAACAGGAACAUCAGAGGAGGUCAAAACAGGAACAUCAGACAAGGCCAUCACAGGGAUCUCAGGGGAGGCCCAAAUCAAUUAGGACCUCAUGGGAGGCUAAAUCGGGGACCUCAGGAGAGCCCAAAUCAGCUUUAUCAACGGCUCACACAUAUCUCUAAAAUCGAACAGCUCACACACAUCAGUCUCAUAGAAAGUGGCUUCUAUAUGUGUAUAUGAAAUAGAAUAUAUUAUGGAAAUAUAUUUUUGGGUAAUUAACUUAUUAUAUAUUAAUUGGUUAUUAUAAAUAUAAAAAAAGUAUUACUGUAACUAUAAGUAAAAGUAACUAAUUUAGUAACCAACGAGAAGAUGUAACGUGAUGUUAUUGAUGAGAUAGAGUGUAAAAAGUAAAACUGAAAGAGACAAAUUAAAAUCAAGUGAAAGAAACAGCAACAUUCGUUACAGGUGUUGCAAGGAACGUCGGGUUGUUCUCACCGGCCAUGAUGACCAGAAUCUUCUGCUCCUCAAACCCAUUCGGACCACAAGUUUGAACGACGGUCUUGGCUUGUCCAGUACUCUCCAAAUCACCACCCUCCAACUGCCCCGAAAGCUUCCAGUAAGUGUAGGCGAGCACCAAUAGAGCGAUAGCGAUCAGACUCAACAUCGCCGCGAGUCCUCCGAACAAGUAAGGAAUGGGAGAAUGCCAGAAUGAGUGCAGCUCGUGAUCUGGCGCCGGUGCCGCAGAGAUUUUGUGGAGAACCAUCUUGUUGGGUCCAAAACCCAGAAACAACUACUACGGUAGCUGUGAACGAUCGAUGAGUCCAAUGUGGUGAAGUGACGACGGAUGGAUCGAUCACACAAUGUACAAAGUACCAGAGCUUUUGCUGUGUCUUUUCUUUCCUCGAUUCCUUCCAUGGCAGAUUAGCAGGCCUGCCACCGCACUACUUUUUAGAUUUUUUUACCUUAAUGUCGACAUCGUGACAAUAGAUUUUAUCUAACAGUGUUUCUUAUGUUAGUUGACUUGGUUCUGAUUUCUGCAUGUCUUUUUUUUUGUUAUACAUUUAUGGGCCGAUCCAAUGGCCAAUGCUAUAUUAAUAUAGGAAAAAUAUGUUAUUCAUAUUAAAGAUUUGGAAAUAGUGAAAUAAAUACCCACUACUAGUAGAAUAAUUAGGGUUAGAAUGAGACCGACUCCAAGUGUAGGGGCGGGCGGGGCAAGGAUUUUUCAAAAUAUUCUUUUUUUCGCCUCAUCAGCCAUCGCCGCAUGCCCCGAUCCUAUCGUAUUUUCGAUGCGGACAAAAUCGUCAAAAUCUUUUUGAUUUUGCCCUAUCUCGAUCGUUCAUAUUUUUUAGAGAAGGUCUUGGGGUAAGUUUGCAUCACGGUUUUGUCAUGUAUUAUACGGAACGAGGUCGUCAACCCUCAUUCUCCUCUUAACCACUGGAAUAAAAAAACUUUAUAAUCAGUUUUAACUAGAGUUAUACAUGGAUCAGUUAAAUAGAGUUAUUCAAUUAUAAUCAUUUUCAAGUGAGUCAUUGCAUGAGAAGCACUUCAAAGAACUUUCAGGUGUGUCCUCUAUUUUCGUCUACCACACUUCAAAGAGCUUUCGCUCUACAUCUCGAGUUCUCCAAAAGUGUUUUUGCUUUCAAAUUUCCAAAAGUUUUCAAGUGUUCUAGUUUUUUAAAACUUCAAAAGCUCUUCAACUUCUACUUCUUAUUGUAAUUAUUGAAUCACAUUCAUUUUCAUUGUUUAUUCACAUUGUGAUUACACAUAUUUAUAUUAUUAUUACAACUAUACUCCUUGUUACUAUUCUAGUUAAUUAGUUUGUUGCCAAACUACCUAUACUCCAAUACGCCCCCUCAGGUAAAGCGGGAGCUCUUCCGUGAGCCUGCAUGUAAGAGAGUGGAAUGCUGACUUUGGUAGAGGUUUGGUUAAGAGAUCUGAUGUUUGAUCUGAUGUCCUAAAAAACUUGACUUCUACCGUUUUUGCCCUUACUCGUUCUCUGACAAAAUUAUAUUGCAUGGCAAAAUGCUUUGAUUUCAUAUGGUGAAAUGGAUUCUUUGAAAUUGCAAUAGUUCUGAUGUUGUCGCACCACACCGUCAUUGGAGACGAGGUAAAAAUGCCCAAUUCGGAUAAAAGCAUCUUUAUCCAUUCGAACAACAUAACUGUAUCGGCCGCACUCUUAUAUUCUGCCUCCGUUGUUGACCUUGCAACUGAAGAUUGUUUUCUAGAGCUCCAUGAAAAUUCCAAGGUAGACUACAAAUUAACGCCCCCUGACUUCUACUGUCACUUCUGUCUCCACCCCAAUCCGCAUCGGAGUAAACACGUAACUCCAUUGAGUCUGAUUUUUCGAUAUGUAUCCCUUUUAGCAACGUUCUUGAAACGUAGCGUAGCAAUCUCUUCAACGUCCCCCAAUGUACUACAUAAAUUGAGCAAACUUAUUUACCGGAAAUGCCAGAUCCGGUCUGGUAAUAGUAAGAUACUGUAGAAUCACAUUCAUUUCCAUUGCUUAUUCACAUUGUAAUUACACAUAUUUUAUACUAUUAUUACAACUAUACUAUGAUUCUAGUUAGUUUGUUGCCAAACUACCUAUACUCUAAUACUUCUAAUCCUCUAGUUCAUCUUUACAAGUAAAAAAUUUUAUGUGCUUAAUAUUCCACUCCUCUAAUCAUCUCUUGUGUGUGUCCACUUUGGUAGAGAGGUGAUAAAACCCUGCUGGAGGAAGAGUCCAUGCUGAAGGAGAUCUAUCACCAACUGGAGCAGGAUGAUGCCGACGUUGCUGAAGAGGAGGUCGAGAUCGACGUUGGCCGGAGUGCAGCCGCUAACCGCCCUGUGAGAAGGAGAUUCCCGUCGACAAGGCUUAAGGGUUUUGAAUUGGGUUAGCGGCCGGGAAUGGGAAAUUGGGUUAAUUGCAAUUUCGUUAUUAUUGUUAUGAUAUGUUAUUUCCUUAGAACUAUUUAGUUAAUUAGUUCCAGCAAACGUGUACCCCUAUAAAAGGGUAACUCAAGUACUUUAUUAAUUGAUCAAUAUUAUUUCCAAGUUUCUAAAAACAAACUGGGUUGAAGCAACCCUAGUUUUAAAUACUGUUCUAUUGCUCCAGCCGUCAACCAUCACUCCCAAUCUUCAACCAGCCAAGUCCACUCCAUCAAGAGGUUUGUCUCAAUAUCACCAAAGUGUAAGAGAAGGUUUUUAAACUCAACCAUAAAGUUCUAUAUUUGGUUUUAUAGAGUUUUCUGGAAAACUCUUAGGUCGAAUCUACCAUGAAAUAUUUUUAGGUUUUUAAGAGUUUCUUAAUACUCUAAUAAGGUUCUAACCUACCUGCAAAGGUUGAGAGGUUUUUAAAAGUUUUUUUGAUAUUUUAAGAUGUGAGUCUACCCGUAAAAGACUGGUUCCUAAGCGAAGUUAGUUUUAAAGCUUAGAGAUAUUUUUAAAAGUUUUUUUGAUACUUUAAGGUGUGAGUCUACCCGUAAAAGACUGAUUCCUAAGCGAAGUUAAUUUUAAAGCUUAAAGAGGUUUUUAAGAGAUUCCUUGAUACUCUAAGGUUUUGUCAUAACCUUUAGGCUAGUGAAUUCCGAUAGUUGUCGGGAUUGGAUUAGCCCUUGUUUGGGUAAACCAGUAUAAAUUCUAUUGUGUUGUCCAUUGUUAAACUUAAUUUGAUCUAUUAUCAAAAAACAACUAAACAACACUUAAUUAAAAAGAAUUCCACUUCCAGUUAUCUGGUCAAGAAUAAAGGUUGACUACUUUCCACAGAUCCCUCAUUCAGUUAUCUGGUCAACUCUCUGAGGUUAAAUUUAUCAGUUUAUCUCUAUCCAGUCAUCUGGUCAAUCUUCAUUUAUCAAUUAAAUUUUCAAAUACCUGGUCAAGUUAUUUAACUCAGAAAUAUUACUGUUGUUCAAUCCUUUGUUUAUUUAAGUAUUUACAGGUAAUUUCGCAUUUAAACUGUAUAAAUCGAAAAGAGGUUAUUAUGCCCCCUUAUAGCCUCGGAUCACGAUCCAACACAAACGCCGUCAGACCAUCUCUGAAUUCUUGGCUAGAGGAAGGUACGUACUGUCAUUCGCCACAUGCCCCGUUGUCCUAUCGUAUUUUCUGGAUGGACAAAAUCGUCAAAAUCUUUUUGAUUUUGCCCUAUCUCGAUCGUUCAUAUUUUUUAGAGAAGGUCUUGGGGUAAGUUUGCAUCACGGUUUUGUCAUGUAUUAUACGGAACGAGGUCGUCAACCCUCAUUCUCCUCUUAACCACUGGAAUAAAAAAACUUUAUAAUCAGUUUUAACUAGAGUUAUACAUGGAUCAGUUAAAUAGAGUUAUUCAAUUAUAAUCAUUUUCAGGUGAGUCAUUGCAUGAUGAGCACUUAAAGAACUUUCAGGUGAAACCUUCAUUUUCGUUCACCACACUUCAAGCACUUCAAAGAACUUUCACUCCACAUCUUGAGUUUUCCAAAAGUGUUCUUGCUUUCAAAUUUUCAAAAGUUUUCAAAUGUUCUACCUUUCCAAAACUUCAAAAGCUCUCCAACUUCUACUUCUUAUUGUAAUUAUUGAAUUACAUUCAUUUUCAUUGCUUAUUCACAUUGUGAUUACACAUAUUUAUACUAUUAUUACAACUAUACUCCUUGUUACUAUUCUAGUUAAUUAGUUUGUUGCCAAACUACCUAUACUCCAAUACGCCCCCUCAGGUAAAGCGGGAGCUCUUCCGUGAGCCUGCAUGUAAGAGAGUGGAAUGCUGACUUUGGUAGAGGUUUGGUUAAGAGAUCUGAUGUUUGAUCUGAUGUCCUAAAAAACUUGACUUCUACCGUUUUUAUCCUUACUCGUUCUCUAACAAAAUUAUAUUGCAUGGAAAAAUGCUUUGAUUUCAUAUGGUGAGCUGCAUUCUUUGAAAUUGCAAUAGCUCAGGAUCGAGCACGCUAGAAGAGCUGAGAGUCCAGAUACCUCUUCCCCUGAAAAUCUACACGGACAACCCAAUUGCGCAUAUCAAACUCAAACAAGUCGCUCUCGACCUCCAUUGAAUUCGUGAACGAACUGAGAAAGGUGAGCUUCUUGUCGAGCACAUACUGGGUGCAGAUCAGUGGGCAGAUAUACUGAUCAAAGCACUGGCGCCAUCAACAUUUCUUCGUCACCUCGUUGGUGUAACCGUGACGACUUGAGUGGGGGGAAUGUUAGACCAGUUAACACCAAAUAGUUGAUUGGUCGUUAUUCGAUUGGUUAAUAAUUAGUUGCAAAUACUGGUUAAUAAUUAGUUACAAAAACUUGUAUAAAUAAUUUGUAAUACUGAUUAAUCAAUAAGUUUUACAAUUCAAUCAAAUAGUCUUCUUCCGGCUUUUCCUUGUCGCCGGAGUUACUCUGUUUCCGUCAGAAUCUCUAUGACAGAGAGCGUCUUUCAACAGAUAUAUUUCAGACUUUUACUUCACUGAUUCAUUGUGAUCCGUGAUGAUCAUCUUUAUCUAGAUUACAAUUUCUUGAGUUAUGCCCUGGUUGUCUACAUGUACCAUAACAUUUGAUCUUCGAUCGGGAUUAUAAUUUCUCUAUAAGAUUUGAAUCUUGAAUCAUCUUUUCCAGAUUGUCCGGUGUUUUUGCUGCUACCUUUUGUUUUGCAAUUUUUGGAUUUUCAAUUAUAGUGACCCAAUUUGACCAUGAUAUGGAACCAUUUUUCAAUUUGUUAAUUAGAACUCCAAAUUUCGUCUCCAAUUAGAACCGUGUUAUUGGUUUUUAUUUCUUCAUUCCAUUUCAAGAAUUUUAUUUCUCCAAAAUUAAUUAAUUUAUAAUACGUGUAUUUAUACCCUUAAUUACAGUUUGUAUUACUAAUUAAUCUAAACAAAUUGUAACAACUAAUUAAUUAUUGUUGAAUCUCUUGUACUGGACUAAUUCAACUGGGCCCGAAUUACUUGAUGGACUAUUAGCCUAUUUACGUUAUGAUAUAUUUAAGGGGAAGGGAAGUGUAAUUAUGGCUUCAAUUUUACCCGUUUGAGCAUACCCAAACCUGUACCCGGUAGGGUAAGGGUACGGGGAGGAUUUUCUUACGUAGGAAUUUUAAAUUUUUACCCGAUUAAAAUUUAGAAAUAAACCCCUUAUAUAUAUUAUAAUAGUCAAAUCCCAAAUCAAACAAGUGAAACUAAAACCAUUAAACCCUAGAGGAGUGACGAUUCUUCUUCCAGAGUCCCACCAGGUGCUUUAUCUGUUCUCUGUUAUGAUAUGAUUGUGUAGUGAACCUUAGUCGUCUUCCAUCUCCUUGGUAAUGGUAUUCGUUUUUUUUUCUUUGUAUUUGUUUUUUUUUAUGGUAUUCGUUUUUUUUCUUCCGUUUGCAUUUGUUUUCUUUCUUUCAUUCGUUUUUUUCUUCUCCCGAUUGUUUUUUUAAAUAAACAGUUUAUAGUUCUAGUUUUAUUACUUUCCAAUGUAAAUUGAACUACUAAAUUAUUUUCCAGGAAGAAACUGUAAUGGAUUUUCCUAAUCCUACUGAAAAUGGAUUUCAAGUCAAGUUUGAGAAAAAAGAAGAAACGCUAGCUAUUGGUAUUGAUCUUGGUACAACAUACUCAUGCGUGGCUUUGUACAGACAUGGUGCUUAUGGCAAUGUUGAGAUUAUACAAAAUGAACAAGGCAACCGGAUCACACCUUCCUGCGUUGCUUUUACCUCCACCGAACGUCUCGUCGGUGAAGGUGCCUUCAAUCAGAUCAUCCGGAAUCCCCUAAACACCAUCUUUGGUAAGUCAUUCCGAUCGAUCCUUAUAUAUACUUUUCAUCUUUUGUUUUUAUCUCAGUACUCGAACGAUCUUGAUUUAUUCAGAUGCCAAGCGUUUGAUCGGGAGAAGGUUUUCUGACACAGACGUUCAAAACGACAUGAAGCAUUGGCCUUUCCAGGUCGUGUCCGGAAUGUAUGACAAACCUAUUAUCGUGGUUGAACACAUGGGGAAAAAGAAACAGUUUUUAGCUGAAGAGAUAUCUUCGAUGGUGAUCUCCAAGAUGAAGGAGACGGCGGAAAUCUAUAUCGGUCGGUCUGUCGAAAAAGUGGUAGUGACGGUUCCAGCAUACUUCAAUGACGCCCAACGUCGCACCACCAAAGACGCCGGCACCAUAGCAGGACUUACCGUAAUGCGCAUCAUCAACGAACCUACUGCUGCCGCCAUAGCCUACGGUCUUCUUCUGAAGGAACGUGAAGUUGUCGGCAAGAAGACGGUCUUCGUGUUUGACUUUGGCGGAGGAACCUUCGACGUCUCUCUAUUGAAAAUAGACAGUGGAACUGUGGAGGUCAAGGCUACGGGUGGCGAUACGCAUCUCGGAGGCGAGGACAUCAACAAUAUCCUCGUCAACCAUUUCGUGAAAGAAUUCAAGAGGAAAUACGGCAAGGAUCUGGACAAAGAUUCCCGGGGUUUUAGGAGGAUGAGAUCCGCAUGCGAGAAAGCGAAAAGAAAUCUUUCUUUCUCCACCCUUGCAGUGAUCGAUAUCGAUUCGGUGCAAGACGGUGUGGAUUUCGAAGGAAAAUUAUCACGUGCUCUGUUUGAGGAUCUUUGUAUGCAUCUGUUCGAGAAAUGCAUCGACCAUGUUUCGCGUUGUCUGAUAGAUGCGAAGAUAAAAAAGAACAAGGUGGAUGAGGUGGUUCUCGUAGGUGGUUCUACCAGGAUUCCGAAGGUGCAGCAGUUGCUGAGAGAGUUUUUCGAUGGGAAGGAGCUCUGUUGCUCGCUCCAUCCUGAUGAGGCUGUGGCUUGUGGUGCUGCGAUUCAAGCUGCUAUGUUGUGUGGAAGCAGCAGUGAUGAGUGCCCAAUUCUUAAAGAUUUUGUAGUUAAAGACGUCACUCCUCUCUCCCUUGGAAUAAGUUAUAACAAGGGUGUCAUGUCUGUUAUUGUCCCAAGGCAUACUCCAAUCCCAACCAUGAAGAUACAGUCUUACACAAUUGCAUCUGAUUACCAAACUAGUGUUUCUGUUCCCGUGUAUGAAGGAGAACGGAGCAUGGUUUGCGAUAACAAUUUCCUUGGUAAUUUUAUACUUGAUGGUAUAACUCCAGCUUUUAUCCAUGUGACGUUUAACAUAAAUGAGGAUGGUCUCUUGAACGUGACUGCUAUGGACGAAUCUUGUGGGUUUCAAGCUGGAAUGACUUUUACUAACGACAGUAAUAGUAGCCAGGAAGAGAUUGAUAAGAUGGUGGGCGAUGCUGUGAUUUACAGAAACCAAGAUAUGGAAAAGAAGAAGAAGGCGGACGCCAAGUCUGGAUUGGCAACCUACGCUUACAAGAUUAGAAACACAAUCAGGAAUGUGGAUAUUGGAUGUAAACUGAUGUCAAGUGAGAGGAAAGCGGUGGAAGUUGCUGUUUUGGACGUUCUAAAAUGGUCCGAUGUGACUUCUUCAGUAACAACAGAAGCUCAUAUAUUUGAUAUGGAAAAGACGAAGCUUGAAAACAUCUGGAAUCCAAUCAAAGCAAAGCUCGGCUUGUGAACUCUCUAAUUGAAAAAUUGAAAUAGAAUUAGAUUUAUUAACUCUGUUAUAUGAAGGACAAAUAUGAACAACUAUGAAUUUAUUUAUCUUACCUUAUAUUUUCAUCAUUUUUUAGGGUUUCCGUUUACUCCAUUACGUAAUGGGGAAAAACAAUAUAUUUGAGACUUCAUAAGUUUCUACUAAAAUAAUUUUUUCUAUUAAAACAAAUUAGUUCAAUUGGAAAUAUAGUUAAAAUAAUGAUUGAUGAUUAAACAAUAUGAAACUUUGUCAAAUAUUGUGAAAAAUAAUUAAAUUCAAUGAAUAAAAAAUAUCAAAACGUAAUAAGUAUUUAAUUUUAAUGUUAAUCUUUAGAAUAAUUAUUAUUUUUUAAGUAACAGUAGUGUUUAGAUUAUUAUCAGUCUAAUAUUUUAUUCUUUUUAAAGUAAUAUAUUCCUAAAAUGAAAUACUAAUAGAAUUUAUCAUCAUUUGCAUACCUAAUUUUUUUUUUAUUGAAACUAAAAAACAAAAUUUAAGUACAAUUUACUAAUCAAAGAAAAUGUAGACAUUGCAUUGAACAUUUACUUUUUUAGACAUUUCAUUAAUAGGGUUUACUUCAUUAAUUAAUCUACUGUGUGAUGGUGUGACCUCUCUAAUAUUACUCUCGACCCCCUCCCUUGUUGCAUCUGGAGAGAUAUUUAAACCCUAUUUCCUUGGACCUACUGGACCUCACAGGCCUCCCCGGUAACAACACUGUGUAAGAUUUUUAAUUAUUAGUUUUAUUUCAAAUUAAUGUACGUAUAUUAUGAAGGUAAGAAGUGGUUAAAGCAAAUCUUAGUGUGAAGUCAUGGUUUCAUUUUUACAGUGUAAUAGUCGAUUCUUAUAAGGUUUCAUAUUAUCUAUUUUCUGAGUUCAUCAUUUUUUUUCCUGGAAGUGCACCGCAUAAUAUGGUUUCUAGAAUUACCAUUGUCACAGUAUGAAGAAGAAGAAAUCGAAGUCAUAAUAAUUUGUGAUCAAACACGGAAUGUCUUACCAGGGCUCGCGGUGGUGUGAGGUGAUGCCGGAGGCUCUGGAGUCCACGACGCGCGCUCUACGUCAAGUCUUCUGGGAGAAAUCGGCGAUUAGAUGUGUAUAAUCGACGAUUUGCUCCGUGUUUUCUGCUUUAGAAUGGAUAGAACUGAUGCUUUGGAUUGUGAUUAUCUCAGCGGUAAUCGCGUUCGGCAUUAAUGGCGUGUUAUUAAGGACGCGAGCUGGCGUCAAGUAACGGUCGAGAAAUCGACGAUUGGGUGAUGAAUCGGCGAUUUGACGAAGACCAUUGUUCCACACUCGUGGGAGCCUUUCAGGGGUCCAACGUAUAGCGAACGGAACCCGAGUUUCAGUUGAGGGGCAUUGAUGGGAGUGAUUAACGUAGCGGUCAUGUAUCAACAACAACUUGCAUUUUCAUUCAUUACCAAAAAGAUACUCUUGAAUGGAAUAUCGAAAUAGUCACUAAUAUUUUCCGACCAUCGUCGAAAAUGCAAUAGUUCGCAAAAAAAACAAGAAAAACCGCAAACCAGAUAAAACACAAACUAAUAAGAUAAACAACAAAACAUAGUCGAAAAGAUUCUGAACAAGCCAAAACACCACGCUUUCCCCCUAGGGGUGCGAAUGAGACGGGUCGCGGGCGGGCUACCCCACCCUGGUAUCCGGUCUGUUAUGAAUAAACGGGGCGGGUCAGGUACCCUACUUCCCUGCCCCGGGGGCGGAUCCGGGGUGACCCUCCUGGAAUUAUAAAAUUUAAAAAAAAUAUAAGUUAAAAAAAUAUAAAUUUAAAUACAAAAAAAUUAAAAAGUAAACCUAAAAUUUCAAUUGGGUAAAUUUUUUACCCUAAUUUUAAAUGGGUAAACAAAUGGGAACAGGGCAGGACCGAGGUGACUCGUCCCAUUCUCACCCUUACUCCCCCCCACCUCGAGUUCCCCCCGUCGUCUAGUCGAUGUUGAGGUCGUCUAUGAACUCGAAGUUCUGAACUUCACCCCCCCUCUCGGACGGCGUCGCUCGCGUACACAGAAGGGUCAGGUUCAGGUAUCGGAAACAAGUACGAGGUCGCUGUGAAUAUGAACGCCAUGAAUAGGUAGCCGCACUGGAGACACAUUACCACGUCUGACGGCGGAGCCGGAGGGAGUGGAUGAUCCGGACAUGCAUGAGCGAGAACUGGUGCUUUAGGGGCGUAUGCAGGCAUCAUCACUGGUGGAUAUGGGCGAGGCCCCUAUCUGUUGAUCGGAACAGGGUUCAGAUGGCGUGGAGCAAACAACAUCGAUGGAAACUCAAGAAUAGACUGCGACGUACCAGGGUUCAGACAACAUCGACUCGUCGGAGGAGGCUCCCGUAGCAAGCUUCAUCAAAAGGGACUGGAAACCAAGGGGAGCUUUUCGAAUCACAAAGGUCAACCUUCAAUCGUUCAAAGUAGGAUUCUAUAAUGAAGCAGACUUUGAGCGGACAAGGACCAUGAAAUGGGAACAUAUGGGCGGUGAUUUGAUCCUCGUGAGGCAAUGGCAAGCAGAGGAAAGCACAACUGAGGAUGCCUUGGAUACGGUGCCGCAGAGAGCAUCAAUGCACAAUAUCCUGGGUGCAAUGUGGGGCGAGGAGGCGAUAGGGAGAAUUGCGAGCAAGGGAGCCCGAUUGAAGCAUGGGCAUCGGAGCCAAUGCACCUGAACCUCCCCCCGCCGCUCGAGGUAUGCGUGAUAGUAGGGAGGAAUUUCAACUAUCCCCCAAGCGUUAGAAUAAGGAUCGAAGGCAACGAAGGUGAACUAAACAAGGACACAAUCGUAAGUGUCGAGUAUGCGCAAAGAUUCCCCUACUGCUGCCAUUGCAAAGGAUUCGACCAUUGGCAUCAGCAGUGCCGGAGGAAGGACAACGUGCGGCUGGGCAAAUGGAACCAAAGAAUUAUGGAACCAAUUCAGGCAAAGCACCAAGCAAGGCACGGCUCAGGCGAGCAUACUCUCGCCAAAUUUCAAAAAGUAACAAACGUACCAGAUCACAUCGGCGUCGACGUACUAGGAGGGUGUACAGGCGCGUGCAGACGGGCCAUGCUAGAGAAAGGUACAACGAAUCGCAAAGUAACCAAGUAAGGAUAGCAGACACCCCCCCAAACCCAAAAGCGAACGAAUCGAAUGAAACAACGGGUAAUCCCCCACUGCUUGAAGGUAAUAAAGUACUUAAUCAGGCGGACGCCCAUCCAACAAGGAACCUAACUACAACAAUUAGGCAAGAACAGAGUAGUGUAGCAAAGUCACCCGAAGUAGAGCAGAUACCGGAGAAGAGCAUAGCAGAGCAAAGUCACCCGAAGUAGUGCAAAACAUAGAACAGAUAGAAGGCCAUAGCCUCUCUGCUGAGGAUCGAUCGCACGAGUAAAAUGCACAUUCUAUAUAACCUGCCAAACAUGGAUAGCCUACUGAGGCGUUCAUCCUCCUUGAUCUCCUACCUAAAACGCAUCCCAGAGAAGGUUGCGUCAGAGAAAGGACAAUUAUUCAGCUGAGGAAGAAAUCCAAUCGAGGUUGUGAUCAACGGAGGAGCAAAUCGCUAAUGUACCGAUUCAGCUUCACAACAGGUUUCAAGUACUACAAAGGGGGGCGUUGAGACAGGGAGGCCACAAAGGAACCAAAGGCGGGUACUGGCAAAGAAGGACACAAAGCAGGUGGUGUUGUGGAAAAGUAUAGAAAUUGAAGACAUUGGGUUUAACAGGAAGAGGUAUAAACGGAAAUGCAGAACGGCCAACGAACGGCAAGCAUUGCACUAAUGGGAUGCCCUCCUAAUGCUCAUCCAUAACAAGGAUGAAGGAAAUUAGCCAAGGCUAAAUGACAGGCGACAAAAGAGGAAGAUAGGUUUAAUUAACUUAAUUGCUUUUAUUUUCUAUUAAUUGUGUUUAUUUUCUAAAUAUCUACUAUUUAUUUAAAUGCGAAAUUGAUGUUCAACAAAAAAAAAUGGAUAGCCCUGAGUUGCAUGUCAAUCUUCUAUAUCUAAAUAUUAAUGAAGAGACGAUGAUAGAAGAAUGUUGUGAAUGUUUAUUAAGGUUUAAACGCGUAUUUACAAGAUUAAUAUACUUAAGUAAGUAAUCAUCGAGGUAUUUGAUGAAAUGCUUACAUUGAACCGCCGUGCAUGGUCAGCGAAGAUGAUGCCUGCUAUAUUGAACAGAAGAAACUCUCAAGUAAACAAAGACGAAAUCAGAAAGAAAGGAAAAGAGAUAGGAUCUAUGUAUCUAUGUAUCUAUCUAUAAGUCGACCUGACCUGAGCGUCUCCUUGGUCGCACGACGGAUCUUACAGCGUAUGGUCGGGAGGCCGAGUUUGUGGUGUGCCUCGUACCGAUGGCAUCCGGAGAAACCAUAAUAAACUCCCUCAACUUGCAGCACAUCGAUCUGUUGCAAUUAUUAAUAAUUCAAAGUUAAUAAUUCCGAUCGGAAUCGGAGUGAGUGCAGGGCCGACCUAGUUUUCAAAGCUCAGAAAGACAUAACUGGUUGUUGGAGUCCGAUUUCACGGAUGCUUUCCAUGAGUUCCUUCACUUUGGCGGGAUCAUUGGUUCGAGUCCGCAUCAGAGGACGGCGUAUCAUACCGAGUGGGAUUUCUUUGAUCAUCACACCUGAUUUAGGGUUUAGGAAAGGGACGCCUGAACGAAUUUGGGGGAGAGUGGAAAACAAAGUGAGAAUCUCUAAUUAAUUAUUUUAUUUUAUUUUAAUUCUUCUGUGGAAGGAAGAUCGAUGAUAAUACAUACCAUUGGUGGAAGCUACGAUCGGUGUUGGUCGUCUCUGGUUCCAAGAGCCGUUGAUGACGGGAGGAAGACGUAGCUGAAGAUUGGUCAUUUUCCUGCCUGAAUUUGUCAGUCUGAAACCGGAAGAUAUAUAUAUAUAUAUAUAUUUUUUUUUUUAUGAGAUAAAAUAUCAAAUCGUGAUGUAAUUUUUUUAAAUCGUUGAUAUGAGUUCCAAGCAACUAUUUAGAUAAGUGUUUUUUUGACUCAUUUAAGUCUUAGUUCAGCUGAAAAUUAUUGGAUUUGGGCCACAAAAUUAUGCAAAGUGAUUUAAUAACAGUUUUAAAUUUAAAUUUCCACUUGGAAUCGUCAGUCGCGGAGGUGGAGGUCGCCGCCUGAAAUCGUCGGUCGUCUGGAAAAAAGAAGGAAGAGAAAAUAGGCGACUAAAAAUAGGAGUUUUUUUUAGGAAAUAGAGUUUUAUAACCCUAACCCUCAUUCAUAAUUCUUUAUUGGGUUUAUAUUUGAUUUUAUACAUCCAUUUUGAUCAUAUAACUUUUCUAUCUUUUGGAAAAUCUCUUAGGACGGACCACUGUAUGGUUUUAAUGUAAUGCAUCUAUUUCUUUUCUCAUAGCUUUUAUUCAAUUUGGUUUGGUUCAUUGUUUUUACUUAUUUGUUUUAAUAAGUAUUUAUUUAUGUUUUUUGUUUAUCCUAUGAUAGGAAACUUGAUUGCUCAUGGGGUAUUUUAAAUCAUUAUUAUUUUCAAGUUUUUUUAUGUUACCAUCCCCUGUGUAUAAUUUGUGUUAUGCUUUUAGUGCCUUUUCAUAGGUUUUUAAUUAAUAUGAAACUUUACUUGUUAUUAUGAAAUUUGUGGUUGAUAUUCACUUUAUCCUGAAUCACAAAAGGUUAUUAUUAUUUUUUUAAACAGAUUCAAGUUCAGCUGAUCGACACAAUUGAUCUUAAUCCUCAUAAUCCCGAACGAUUGGUUAAGAUCGAGUGAGUUAUAUUUUACAGUAUAAAAACUGUUAUUUAAAUUUUUUGUACAACAUAGAAUCAAAAAAUAGAAUUUAAUGUUACAAAUCCUCUUAUUUAUAUUAUUCAUCUUUGUUUAUUCUAUUAUUUCGCAGUUUAUUAGUUAGUUCAAUCUCGAUGUUGUUUUUCUUCUGAUUAUUUAUUUAUCCACAUUCAACGAUGUUCGUGACAUCCUUCCAUCUUUUUUUUAUUUAAAAAUUAAGAAAUUUGGUUUUGAACAAUUUCUGGAAUCAGUAGAUUUAACUUUUAAUUCUUAUCAUUUAGAUGAUCUCGUAUCGGUAAUUAUAAAUUCCUCAUCAAAGAUAAGAUAUUGAGGGUUACCCUAAAGGAUAUAGGUUAUAUCUUUGGCCUUCCCUUUUCCGAUGUCAAAAUUCAGAUUGCUAAGAAUGAUGCUAUCAAUUAUUCUACUUCUUUUUGGCACAAGUACUUUAGCGUCAAACAUGUUGUUAGGUAAUGUUGGUGUGUGGCAUCGCCGGAGUAAGCUCGCCGUCCAACCUAGUGCAAGUGUGACUCUCAGAAUUAUCAACCCCCCAUAUUGGACCAGGAAAGGUAUUUAUAGUCUUCCGUCCCAGUCCUUGGGCCUCGUGGGCUCGCGCGCCGGGCCCGUCCGUUCGCCCGGGCCGCCGCCGAGGCCGGUUUGGUCCAUGGGCCGCGGUCCAUGGUACCAACAGGUAAAUUGAUUAUUAUUCUAAAUUUCAUCAUUCUUGUUCCUUAAACUUGUAUUAACAUUUUCAAUUUCAAUGUCUAUGUGAAAGAUGCAACCUCCGGCGAGGAGGUUCCGAUGAAGAAGUGGAGACUGGAAUUAAAACACCCUAAGUAGGGUUUAGUUGCAAUCUAAGGAUCGUGGGAAGUGAUUGGAAGAGGAAGAGAAGAGAUGAAGAGUCACGGAAUGUAAGAAGUGAGGCAAUGAGGAGCGUCUAGGGUUUUGGACGCCCCUUUUAUAUUAUUACUAAUUGGGUUGGGCCAAUUUGGGUCUUUACGUUUAAUGUUAAAUAUUACAAAUCAUAAACUAAAAUACAAGUUAACCAAAACCAAUCUAUAAUGAUACACUUGGUUGUGACCUCAGUUGGAUGAUUUGCUCUCGAUCAAACCUCUUUCACCUGCAUAGAUUAAUUUUAGUUUUAACAUGGAAGAAGAAGUAUUUGUAUUGUGUGAAAAUACGUAGUAAUCAUUCUGAGUUAUAGUUGGUAUAUAUAUAUACCAAGUUUAACAACUUACUUAACUAACACCUAACAACUUUCGUAAACCUUUAACAAUCUAAAGUGAUAUCCUAUACAGUGACGUCAUGAUGACGUCAUCAAUAGUUGGUUACGCAACUGCUUUUUUUUUAAACAAAACCAACUGAUAAUAUAGAUUCCGAAACAAAGAAAAAGGGUGUGAUCACAUGCGAUCCACCCCACACCCUCCGCAUUGUUCCAACCCCGGAUCUUACGAUCGUUUGGGCCUUCACAAUCUUUGGGGAACUGACUCGAUGUUUCCUAGAACGAUCUAUGCCUCAUCGUUCUUACGAAGUGGUCUUAAGUCAAUGGGGAGUGUAAAAACCCUGGUGUGCCCAAGGCAUCUUUUCCUUUGCCAAGGGAAAACUCUGCCAUUACCUUUAGGUCCACUACACAUAAGUGAUUCCACAUAUCGUUUCUACUUUAAUAAUAGAGUCCACCCCCUGGGGGAUAGAGCUCUAUAUGGAUAUGACUUUUUUGGUUAUUCCAUUUACCAAUUUGUCCCCUCCUAUAGUAUUUGGCAAGACAGGGUUCUAUUUUUAGUUGAACCCCAUCCCACCAUAUACCUCAGUUUUAGUUUCCCUUAAUACAAGUUCCUAUUAAAAUACGAUUACAGACUCAAUAUCAAAUAUAAAGAAUUAAACAAGUUUCACGUUUUCGCCAACUGGGCACCUCCGGUCCAUAUAUAUAUCCAUCCAUCUCUGUUCCCUUCUCGUAACUUUUGCUUUAUACUUGUCCACCUUGAAUGACGCUGUUACAUCCUGUACUGUCCUCCUCCCUAUCUCCUGUGGGCUCGUGCGUCUGUCCUCAUGCACUCUCCUGUUCCUUUCGGUCCAGAUUCCCCAUACUAUCGCUGCCGUGUACGUUCACGUCAGGCCCCAGCAUGGUGAGUUCUUUGUUCUUGCAUUUGCCUGUGCCAUGACCUGUUCUAAAGAUAGACCUGCACACGUAAUCAAACUGGGUUUUGCAUUUAAAAUAUAUGUCCAUAGAUCCUUGGAGAACUUGCAUUUGAAGAAGACAUGGUCUUGUGAUUCCCAUGUUCCCUCACAUAAUAUGCAGUCUGUGUUCCCCCCUCCCAUUCUACCCGUCCAGUCAGCUCUCAUGGAUAUUUUGGACCACCUGGCCCUCCAGAGUGUUAUGCUAAAUUUCCUUACACUAGUCGUCCAAACCCCCUCCCCGUAGUGGUCUAUUGGCUCAGCAUUCCUGACGGAAUCCCAAGCGUUCUUGAAAGUCAGGGAAGUUCCUUUUCCUACUCAUGUGUAAUUAUAAUCAGCCUCACACUUUAGGUUCCCCUCUAUCACAUCCUUCUUAUCAAUGAUUUCAGCCCAUAGGGCCGAAUCCGAGUUUGGGUGCUUCUCUAUAUCUCUGAGAGCGCGUCCACCCACGUAUCUCCCACUCAUCCAUGAUGCCCAGAUCGAGUCAUCUGCCGACCAUAUUCUACCCAACCUUAUCAUCCUCGCCGCUUCAGCGGACUCUCUGAAGUACCUCAUUCCCAUUCCACCCUCCUUUUUGGGAAGGGUCAUCUGGUUUCAUCGGACAUCUUGCUUCCCACUCCACAUAUAUCUGUAAGAGAUGGAUCUCAAUUCUUCAAGGGUAUCCGCCGGGAGUCUGCUCGACAUAUUUCAGAAAUUGAAUAUGCCCAUUAUACCCCAGUGAUACAGCUGAACCCUGCCCGCAUGAGACAACAACCUUGUUUUCCACCACUCUACCAUCUUAUUGACUCUUUCAAUUAGGGGGCGCAGUCCUUUGGGUAGAGGAUCCUAGGUGAUAGAGGCAGUCCAAGGUACGUUGUUGGGAAGGUCCCUUCCUUGAACCUUAGGCGUGCCAGUAAUUGGUCCUUAUUCUUUGUGGAAUGUGAAAAGAACACCUCACUCUUUGGGUCACUUACGCUCAGACCUGUUCUAGAUUCGAAGACUUUAAAUACUCCAUCGAUGGAUUUGAAGGAAUCCUCCUUGGCUUUGCAGAAAAUCAAAAGAUCGUCCGCAUAGAUCAAGUGUGAUAUUCCCAUCACGUUGUGCUUCUUAAAGGUACUUAUUUGCCUCCUCUCCACUUUCUCAUUUAUGAGAAUGGUCAGGUUUUGCAUUAAGAGAGCGAAUAUGUACGGGGAGAGGGGGUCUCCUUGUCUAAUUCCUCUCUUUGGUAGUAUUUGUGGUGUCGGCGACCCAUUCACCAGGAAAGAUAACGAUGAUGUGGUUAUACACAUCAUUAUGAUCUUGGUGAUCAUUUCACUGAACCCCAUAUCUAUUAGAGUGUCCUCUAUCGCCUGCCAGCUGCAUGUGUUAAAGGCCUUCGCAAGAUCCACCUUUAUGGCUGCAUUUGCUCCCCCACUUGCCCUACCGAAUCCCAUUACCAUUUCCGUCGCCAAUAGAUAAUUGUCCCCAAUCAGCCUUCCUGGUAGGAAAGCGGUUUGAUUGCUGUCAAUCAAGAUAUCUGCAACUGAUACCACCCUGUUCGUUAGGACUUUUGAAAGGAUCUUGUACGUUGUGUUUACGCAAGAUAUGGGCCUAAACUGAUCCAACCUUGUGGGGCUCUUGGUUUUCGGGACCAAGGUAAUGAACGUAGCGUUUACUUGUCUCAGUAGGGGCUCUCCUAGAAAGAUAGAUUGUAUGGCUUUGACUAGGUCCUCGUCUAUAAUGUUCCAAAAGGCCUUAAAGAAGGCUCCGUUGAAACCGUCUGGACCAGGGCUUUUGUCUGAGUUUAGCGUCAUGACUACCUUCUUAAUCUCGUCAUACGCUGGUAUCUUCUCUAAUUCCCUAUUUUGUUCAGGUGUAACCUUUUUAACGAAGUUUCUGGUUUCGGUACUUAAGGCCUCCUCCCCUUCAGCAAAUAGUGUCUGGAAGUGGUCCAACGUUUUUGUCUCCAUCUCACUUCUAGAUACCACCACCCUUCCAUUCGGACCUAACAUUUUGUAGAGGGAAUUUAGGGUUUGUCUUUGUUUUGUCAUGGCUGCAAAGAAUUUCGUAUUCUUAUCCCCUAGUCGCAACCAAUUUGCCCUACUCCUCUGUCUCGCAUCCUCCUCCUGCACCUGUAGUAGGCCUUUUAGAUCCUUAAGGCAUCCAUCCAGCCUCACCUGGAUAUCCUCAUCAAAUGGUCUUACCUCCAACAGGUCCUCAUUCUUCUGGAUUUCUGCCUCUGCUUGGGCGAUUCUCCUCCUUGCUUGAUCCUCUGAUGUCUUCCAUCUCUUGAGUACCCUCUUCACAUUGUUCAGCCUCCUUGUGAAUAUGUACAUCGGGGUCCCUCAUACCUCGAUUUGUCAAGCAUCCCUGACUACCCCUUCCAACUCAUCCUUCCUUAGCCAUGAGUUUGUGAAUCUGAAAGGCCUCUUCCCCUCUUCAACUACCCUGAGGUCGAUGGUCAGGCUACGGUGGUCAGACGUGCCACCAGAGUGGCUGUCCAGGGUCACUGUGGGCCAAAGGUUCAGGAAUUCAAAGUUCCCAAAUCCUUUGUCACUUUUACUGCUAAUCCUGAACUCGCCCACCCUUUUGUUUGUCCAGGUCGUAGGGUUUCCUUGGAUAGGAAUCUCUCUCAAACCUGCUCCAUCUAUCGCCUGGUUGUAUCUGCCUAUGCAUGCCAAGGAGGCCCUAGCAUGUUCUCCUAUCCUGUCCUCCCUGUUUCUAACCUCGUUGAAGUCCCCCAGCAUGAUCCAUGGCCCUCUGAUGCUGUGGCUGAGUCUCACUAACUCCUCCCACGUCUCUUCCCUCUCGUUGCUCUCUGACGCCCCGUGCACAAAAGUUACAUGGACUGUAAAACCCCCUUUAUUCUUUGCUACACAAUGUAUGUAAUGCUCGGUCCAGAAUGGAGCUCUCAAUCUCCCAGUUCCUCACAUCCCAUACUAGCCAGAUAGAAUCCGGCUUUUGGAUUGUGUCAUCGGUCCUAUUCGACAUCACUGAAAAAUUUUGUCCGAAAAUCUUACUACAGUGUGCAAAGUUACGUUUCAUAAUCUUGGUCUCGUAUAGACCAAAGAUGUCCAACUUAUACUUCUUAACAAACCUCUUUACCUCAUCCUUCCUUAUGUCACUGUUUAGUCCGUAAACAUUCCAGCUUCCGAACAACAUUUUGAUACCUCUUUGCUAAAACCACUCUAUCACUCUACCGUUUAUGACGGCCCAUCCUUGGCCGCCUUCGCUCGAUUUGCACUUGGUCCAGAUCGGGUUGUUAAUGUGUUGACUUUUGGUCAACCAAAGGUGAUUUGUGUGCUGAUUGUUUUCCAUAGGGGACAAAAUCCCGAUCCAAUAACCCUUAAUCUUAUACCAAAAUUGUGCUUGACUUUUGGGCGAAAAUGGCAAAUUUUGACUUUUGGUCAAACUCUGAUAAUUUUGACUUUUGGUCAAACUCAGAUAAUUUUGACUUUUGGUCAAACUUAGACAAUUAAGAUCUUUGGUUAAACUCAGAGAAUUUUGAUUUUUGGACAUACUAGGGGGUUGCCCAUUUUCCAUUCUUGUCAGACCCUUAGUCGAGUUUGUUCCAUGACUUUUGGUCAAGAUUGGGGGAUUUUGACCUCCGGUCAAACUCAGGGCAUUAUUUUUACUUUUGGUGAUAGUUAUGCUUUGUCCAUUUUGGCUGUUGGGGGCCAUAGUGGACAAAGUCCUGAUCCGAUGUAUUUGUUUCUUAGACAGAAUUGGGGUUUGACUAUUGGUCAAAGUCCUUUGACUUUGACUUCUAGUCAAAUUCGACCAAUUUUGACUUUUGGUCAAAUUAUGGGCUUUGCUCGUUUGGCUGCAAGGGUUAAUUUGGCAGCUUUGGCAAGUCUGGAUGCAUUGCCCAUUAGUCCUAGAGGUCAAUAUCCAUCUCCAAGUACUCUUACUUUCUUUAGUUCGGACUAGUGUUUGAUUAAUUUGACCUUUGACACUUUGGCCGGUUUUUCUAUUGGCUGUCCCCUUAGGCCCACCAGCGUAUCCACUCUUACCCCUCCCCAUUCGGCUAAUGCUUGUCAUAUUAGGUGCAAUUGGUAUUGGUGUUGCCAAUUGGUUUAACCAUUUGGGGGUCCAAUUGGUUAAACCUUGACUAAGUCGUAAAGGGCCUCCUGAGGCCCUUUUCUUAGUCUCCUUGAUAUUUAAUUUCCCAACCCUUCUCCAUGCUACCCUAGGUUUGUUUGAUUUUUUACUCCCACCCACGUGUUGUCUAUUUAGGGGCUUUUUGUAGUUUUUCAUACUGAUUUGACAUAUUUCCACUUUAUAAUUUUUAUUCCUACUAUUUUUGUUUUUAUUUUCCUUAUUAUUAUUAUUAUUUAUUUUGUUUUUGUUGAUAUUUUUUGCUUUCCCUCUACCCCACAUGCAGGUUUUCCCCAUUUAAUUUCAGUGUGUAUUGUUUUAAUUUCUCCCUUCCACUUAAAACUCUAUUAUUUAUUUAACUAAUACUACUUAACCUAAUAACAGUACUUAACUUUACUGUAAACUUAUUUAUUAAGCUUAUUUAUUAUUUAAAUUAGAGUUUACCUCCCCCACUUGUCUCCCCCCUGGUGGUUAAGUCGGGCGACGUUUGCCGUUGCCGGAGUUCCUCCCGCCGGCGAUCGUCGACCUGGUCCGCUUCUCGUGGCGAUGUCCCCCAGAAUGCGUCUCCUUUGUCAUAUUCACUAUCGUAAUCUCCUUCCUGCUCAGAUUCUUCUUUGAAAUCCGAGUCCUCGUCCCAUCCUGUUGCUGUCGAAUAGUCGAGGAACCCAACUGGAUUCUCCGAUGUGGGAUUUUCCCCUGCCACUUCCGGUUCCAGUAGGUAGUCCUCUCUGGAUUUGUUUGAAAUCUUCUUUUCCAUGGUGGCCGCUGCAUUCCUACCUGCUUCCCGCCUUGCUCUCUGCUUCAGUUUAUUUUUUGACACCUUUCUCUCUCUCGAUGACGAUGAAUGGGUUGCCAACGUAUUUGAGUCCUUCUGUCCGCUCUUGCUCCCCCUUUUAGCUGCCUUGCUGGUUAGGUUGGGUGUUAGCUCCUCCCAUUGGCGUAUCGUUUCAUCCUCUCCCGUUCCCUCCAGCUGUUUAUAUUCACAUUGGUCACCUUUAUCGAUUUCCUCCUCCACUGUGGCCUUCUUUGGGGUCACCGGAGAUUCAGUACCCGGGAGAGAUCCCACCUCUUGUUGUGAUCCAAUCCCGCUCCCAGUAUAGUCCAUUAGUAACGUCGAGGUUAUUUGGGGUUGUUCCGAUUUCCCUUCCACCCUCUUCUCCGGCAAUCUGCCCUCCUCCUCCGAUUUCACAUACUCCUCGUCGUGGAAUUUCUUCUUCGCGAACCCAUCAACCGGAAUUCCUAGACUUCGCUUUCUUUUACCAAUCUGAGUCCCUGUUAUAUCCAUCAUCAUCCCUUCUUUUCCGGCAUUUACCUUUUUACUGUUGCUGUCCGAAGCUCUCGUUGUCAUCGGAGCCGAUCCGGUCGUCUUCCCCGUUGCCGAAUCCCUGUCCCGGCGGUUGCUCUUAUUUGAUUUCCCGCCUUUGCUUAUUCGAGUCGGAUCUCCCUCUUUCUUUUUAUUCAAUGACCCGCCGCCCUUUUUUAAAGUGCCCGACUUACCUGAACCAACCUUGAAUGGGUUCGACCCUGCUUCAGCCAAUUUCCGGUUCAACUCAUCCUGAUUGCCUUCUAUCUGGCUUGGACCGGUUUCUGUCAGGUUAGGUUGACCUCCUUGGUGAUUUGACUCAGCCGAUUUUACUAGUUCUCGCAUGUCUUGGGUUGCAUCUGAAGACAAUUUGGUCAGUUUGUUACCUGGUGCAACCUGACCCAGUGUAUCUGAUCCCACGUGGGCUUGGUUUAAUUGAUUCAUCGGGUGGACCCAUAGAGCCAAAUUUGCCGUUCCUCUGGUUGACUUGAUUCCUAUUUUGCUGAUUAGGUCCCUUAGCUGCCGCACUUUUAUUUUUAAAUGGUCAGGGUGCUUGUCGUAAUUUUCCAUCAUCUUUCCCAACCAUGCCUCCUUGAUCUGCUCCAGCUUGCCGCCGUACAUGUCCAAUUCGCCGCUGUACAUCUCUGAUCUAUUCCACGCUAGGUCUGCACCACUCUCUAUCGCCUUCGCCAGGUCAUACUGCGACAUUGCGCUAUUUUCUCCCACUCCGUACCACUUCCCGUUCUCCCAAAGCAAUUCCGCAAGUUUUGACAGGUUGUCGACCCCCAUCGCUUGAAGAGCCGUACUGUCCGGCAGUAGGAGUUCCUGCUGCUCGUCCUCGGUAGCGUGUUGCAUAGCUCCUUUCCGUUAGGGAAUUCUCUCCUUCGUCUUGGUGUUUUCCACCUCCAUGCUCCUCUCCGUCCUGUCUUCCUCCCGUUGGGUUAGCAUUCCUCUGCUCGUCGGUUCCUCUGUUUUCCUUUCCAGUGCAGCUAUCUGGUUCUCGGAUCUUCCCGAGUUGUUGCCGCCCGACCCGACCUUCAGAUAGUGUUGCAAAUUUGGGAUUAUUCCUUCCGGAUCCUCGUUAUUCGGGUUGACCCUACCCGACCCGAAGGCAACCGGUAUCGUAUUUUGGUUGAAUUGGAGCACCGUCAUCUCUCCCUCCACAUUUGUGUCAGCCGUAUUUUUCUCAUUGGCCCGCUGCUCCAUGUCAUUUAAGUGAAAUCCAUCUGUCCCAAUGGGGUUCUCCUGUUGAGCCAUGUCAUCCACCUCAGGUGCCACAUGUCUUACCAAGUUGUGUUCCUCAUGAGUUACCUCCUGCAUGUCCGCGUCGUUUAUUUCUUCCCCAGUCACCACCCUUUCCUUCACGUGGCCCUGAUUAGUCAGUGUACCAUUGGCCUGAUCGUCCACGUCAUUGGCUCGUCCUCCAUCUGCACCAAUCGUCUUCUCCCGUGCUGCCACAUCAUUUCCAGCUGGAGGUUCUUCCCCAUCUUCCUUUCCAGAGCACGUUUGGUUCGUCUUUCCCACCGCCGCGUCCAUUUCUCCGAUGAACGUCGCAUGCACCUCCUCGGGUGGAAUUUUGUCUACGUACCUGCACCUCUCCGUAGUGUGCCCAAAGGAUAUGCAUCUGCCACACACCGGUGGAGGAUUGAUGUAGACGACAGAGCAAGAAUCUUCCGUCUCCGACCCAUCGUCCCCGUGCAUGUAUAUCGGCACCUCAGAUGGGAACCUUCCCGCAGCCUCCAUUAUUACUAGAAUUUUUGCCCCGCUGGAAUUGGGCCCUUUUGCCGUGUGCGCAUCUGUCUUCACCGGUUUCCCAAGCACACUGCCGAUCGCCGAGAAGACCUCCGGUGCCCAUAUGUGUGCUGGAAAGCUCGGUAAUCCGACCCAAAUCGGCAGUCCUCCGGCCGAUUGCAAUUUUCGCGUGUUCAAUUGCAAUUCCCUCGGUCCAAUUCUUCACCAUGGUGUACACACCAUUCAUCCAUGUGUCACCUGCCAAUUUAACAGUAGCGUAGUCCUCCGGCCGUCGGAACUGGAUGAGGAAGACUCCCGACCUUCGAAUCUGCACGUUGAAUUGAUCUCCUUGGAUUCCCCAUAUCUGUUUUAUGAAAUUCUUUGCGAAUCGCGGAUCGAUUUGCUAGCCUACGUACAAGGAGCGUUCCGACGACAAACCUCGAUUUUUCUAUUUUCUUUAUCAACUCCGGCCUCAGUAGAGCUCCACGCCUCCCGUUCCUCUCCGCCGGUUCCGUGUAGCUUAGCGCAGUCGUGACUCCCUCUGGAAGGUCCGGGGCAGGCUUAAGAAUCGACGCAAAGGAUUUUUGCACCGAUGGGUUCCUGAAUUUCGCGAUUCUCUGUUGCACUGCUGCCCGGCGUUGGUUUUCGAUAAUCGACAAGUCCUCCGUCGUCGCAUUGCCAUCCCGCACUCUUGCUCUCCUUUGCAAUUCAAUUUUACUCCCUGUAGGACGAGGCAUCCAUCAUCUACCAGUCGCGCUCUCUGUAAAAAUUCCCGCCUCGCAAUCCUCUGUUUUUCCAACGCAGCCAAAUCCUCGACAGUUGGAUUUCCCGACCUAAUUCUCAAUCUUCUGUCGACCUCCUCCUGAUCCUUUGUCCCAGGCAGAAAACCGUCCCCUGCAAGCAUAGAAUUACGUCUUACCUCCGCGUGUGCACUGCGUUGCAAUUCCAACAGCUUCACAUCCUCCGGCGAACCCAUUCCUAUCCGCACACGCUCCCUCCUGCUCACAUCCUCCUCCGUCGUGGCCUUCGGUAGGAAACCAUCACCAGCGAGUCUCGCCCAUUUGUAGCCAUCCACUCUAGCCUUUAGUUGCUCCUCAGUAAGCUUUUCCACAGAUGGGUUCAUUCGACGACGGAAGUUUGCCGAAGUCAAUUUUCCUCCACCACGACCUCCCCCGACCUCUUCGACCAGUCUGACCUCUCGCCAGUGAGCCUGCCCCCGAUUUUUCACCUCCUCCAGUCUUUCUCCGGUUAACCUCGGUCCAUCCACCUCCAUCUUCAACCUCCAUGGAGAAUGGAGAGAUUCAAGAACACGAUCUAAGAAGGUACAAAAAAAUCAGAGUUUGAUUUAAAAAAUUGAAGACCGUACCUGUUUUAGUAUUAAAAUAUUCCAGCUUUUGAAUAUUUUGUUAGGAUUUCUCUCUCUCUCCGUGCUCCCGUACACCUACACCUGCAAAACAAAAAAGAAACGCAAUCGCCCUUUUUUCGCCCAGCCCUCAGUGCAAAUUUCGAUAUUAAGUAAACCUUGGUUACGCAACUGCAUGCAUGCGUAACUCUAACAUUCCCUUCCUAAAGUCGACGGAGUUACACCGACGAGGUGACGUUGAAGACAAAGAAAUGUUGAUGGUGUCAGUGCUUUGGUCAGUAUGUCCACUGAUUAAUACCUAAAAUAUGCUCUAUAAUAAACUCACCUUUCAGUUCGUUCACGGACGAAGGGGAGGUUGAGUGCAACAUGUUUGAGUUUAAUAUUCCCAAUGUGAUUACGUGCAAUGAAAGAGGCUCUAAUAAGUUGAUUAAUAAUUAUUUAAUUAAUUAUUAAAUUGAAAUAAUAAUGAUUAAUUUGCAUGAAAUUAGAAAUUUGUUAAUUAAUUAUUAAAUUGAAAUAAUAAUGAUUAAUUUCAUGAAAUUAAAAAUUUGUUAAUUAAUUAUUAAAUUGAAAUAAUAAUGAUUAAUUUGUAUAAAAUUAUAGAAAUCAUAAUUUAUAAUUAUUAAAUUGAAUGAUUUUAAAUUGAAAUAAUAAUCAUUAAUUUGCCAUGAAAUGAUUAUUUAAUUAUUUAAUUAAUUAUUUGUUUUAUAAUUAUUAAUUAAUUAUUUAUUUUUUUUUAUAUUUUAAAAAUGUCACGUAGAGUAAGAGGGCUCUACCACCCAAUCUCCAAGAUGCUUUCUGAUUUUUUCUCCCGGUUUAUCUUGCAUCGGCACCUGUUCGUCCAGCACCGGCCCCUCCCGCACCGUCGACACUUGUUCGUUCAGCACCGGCAACUCCGAAAAAAGUCGUUUAUGAAACGGAUUCGGAAUAGUUAAUUAGACCUUUAAUUAGUUAGAUUUUUCAAAAAAAAUUGAACUUAAUAUUAAUUGAACUGAAAUAUUGUAAUAGUCAAUUAAGUUUUAUCUAAUUAAUUAUAAUUUGAUAAAAAUUUAAUUUUUUAGGAUAAUGUUGAACUUCAUAAAAGUACCCGAUAAAGAUUGGAUGAGUUUAGAUCGGUUUUCCAAAAAAUACGGUGAAGGCUUAACAGCUUUCACUAAUUUCGCCCUUUCGAAUUCGACAAGGCUUACCUUGUCCAUGCUCGUCCUGCACAAAUAGUGAAGUGAUUCAUAUAAAGGAGAUGAAAAAACAUGUUUUCAUAAAUGGUUAGUUGAAACAUUACUACGUUUGGACGCGUCACAGAGAGUUACCGAGUAGAUAUGGUGAGAAAAAAGUGAAACGACAAAAGACAGUGCCGGAAACUGGUAACGAUAUGAUUGGAUUGGUUCGUACGGUUUAUGGAGAACAUGUAGUCGAGAAUACAGUCGACGAAGAAUUUCUCAAAACAGAACCUCUCGAAUACGAGCCUAUAGAUAAAGAUCCAGUCGAUGUAGAUCAACUCAUGGCCGGAGCUAUGUACCAUGAUCACCCUACGCUUUGACGGGGAGGGAAGCCGCACAAGACACCUCAGCAACUACGCCAUAAUACAACAAAAGACGACGGUGAAGGACGUCAUCGAGAGAUUUGAAGAGCUAUCGAACAGAGCAGGAGUAUUCAACGAUCAAUUCAAGACAGAAACGUUCAUAGAUGGAUUGAAGGAUGAAAUCAAAAAUGAGGUAGCACCAUUUAAACCUCAAACGGUCGAAUAUGCUCAGGAGAUGGCACUGUUGAUGGAAAUCAAGCUAAGCGAGGGACGAAGAUCACAACAGACCAAUCCGUGAGGCGCCACCGGGAGUGAAAAGACUAACGAUCGAAGAACAAAGAAAUCGUAGGGAUGCCGGACUGUGCUACAAUUGUGACGAACGAUGCCACCGAAGGCACGUAUGUAAGAAACCAGCAAGGGUUCUAUGUCUGGAAGCAAUGGACGACAUCGAUGACGAAGCACAAGCCAUGGUGGACUCGCUGGGAGAACCCGAGGUAACCCAAAUGGAAGAAAACAGAGAACCGGUGGAGGAAAACAGGGAUCCCAACACGAACGUGACUCUGCUGACGAUCAUUGGCGAGGCCGUCCCCCGCACCAUCCAAGUACAGGGCACCAUAAAAGACACCCAGCUGGAAAUCCUAAUCGACUCGGGUGCCAACCUCAAUUACAUACAUCGAAAAUGGGCCAGAGAAUUGAACUUACCUAUCGACAGAUCGAGCCGACUUCCCGUGUUGGUCGGAAAUGGAAACACGAUGACGUGCCUCGGAAUUUGCAGAGAUGUCGAGGUCACGAUGGGAUCCGCGACGUUUAUCGUCGACCUUCAAGUCGUACCCUUUAACGGAGCCGACAUCAUAUUGGGCGUCUCGUGGUUAGAAACACUGGGUCAUGUAACCUUUGACUACCACCAACGUUUAGUCUCGUUCGGAAUCAACAACUCGUCACACACUCUGAGCGCACUCAAAGAACCCGUUCCCACGGUCGUUCCAUUAUUUGUAAACGUUCACACUAACAACGACGACAAAGACUACAAAUUAUUUUUCCUCAAAAUGGACCCAAUUGAUCAAAGCUCACCCAAAUCGGCACCAGUUCCACCGGCGGUGCAAGUCAUUUUGGAUCAUUUUGCAGACACAUUCAGACCCAAGAAGGUACUACCUACAGUAAGGGAGACAGACCACGACAUAUUACUUCAUCCAGGGGCAGAGCCCAUUAAGGUCAGACCAUAUCGAUAUCCAUAUCACCAGAAGGCAGAAAUUUCAAAAUUAGUGGAUGAAAUGCUAGGAAAUGGGGUAAUCCAACCGAGUAGAUCACUGUUCUCAUUACCAGUGAUACUUGUAAAGAAGAAAAACGGAAGUUGGAGAUUUUGCGUGGAUUAUAGAACACUGAACAACAUCACCGUCAAAGACGCUUACCUGAUUCCGACGAGAUAUUCGACGAACUACAUGGAUCAAAAUAUUUUUCGAAGAUCGACUUGAAGUCCGGAUUUCACCAAAUCCUCUUGACUCCAGAAUCAGUCCCAAAAUCAGCAUUUCGCACCCAUAACGGUCAUUACGAAUCACUAUCGACGUUUGGGUUGUGUAAUGCACUGUCGACGUUCCAAUCCACGAUGAAUGCGAUCUUCAAGCCACAACUACGAAAGUAUGUGAUGGUUUUCUUCGAUGACAUAUUGAUCUACAGCAAGGAUUGGCCGUCACACCUGAGUAAUCUACGCUUAGUAUUAGCUACUCUGGCCGAGAAUUCUCUGGUAGCUAAUAAAGAUAAAUGUAAUUUCGCACUCCGCUCGAUAGAUUAUUUGGGUCACAGAAUAUCGGGGGAGGGAAUUGAAGUAGAUCAGAGCAAGAUUGAAGCGGUAAUUAACUGGCCGAUACCAACCAACACGAAGCAACUACGGGGAUUUCUCGGACUAACGGGUUACUACCGGAGGUUUGUGAGACACUACGCGAUGAUGGCAACACCCUUAACCCAACUAUUCUGCAAGGAUAGCUUCGUAUAUGACGAUGAGGUUACCGGGUCCUUCAACAAAUUAAAAGAAGUCUUGACGACGACCCCCGUCCUCCAACUUCCAGACAUCGACCAAGAGUUCACGGUGGAAACUGAUGCAUCCGGUUUUGCCAUGGGAGCGGUUCUCACAUAGAAGAAAAAACCGGUGGCCUACUUCAGUAAACAAUUUCCUCCAUCUGUCCGCCAUAGUUCAGCCUAUGUGAAGGAGAUGGUGGCGAUCGUAGAAGCUGUAAAAAAAUGGAAACACUACUUGACUUGCCGGAGGUUCACUAUUGUCACUGACCACAACAGCCUCCGCCACCUAGUCACACAACAAAUACAGACUCCGGCUCAACAACGUUACCUGCAACAGUUAAUGGGAUACGACUUCAACGUUGUCUUUCGCGCGGGCAAGUUGAAUGUCGCAGCGGAUGCACUGUCCAGGCGGGAAGACUGGAAGAACGAGGAAGAGGAAGCAAUCUUAAGCAUACUGACUAUGCCGGUCUCCGAUCUAAUCGAGAAAAUUAAGAUAGUGGCAGCAAACGACAUGAAUUAUAAAGCUCUAUGGACGCAAAUCUUGUCAUCACCAACAGAGGUAACCCAUUAUUCAAUCAGAAGAGAUUUAAUACUAUAGAAGGAAUCGAUCUUAGUCCCAGACGACGAGGAACUAAAGAAAAUGAUCUUCGAAGAGGCGCACUCGACACCAACAGGAGGCUAUUCUGGACAGAAAGGAACCAUCUCGAGGUUGUCACGGUCUUUUUACUGGAGAGGAAUGUCGGAAAACAUCAAGAAGUGGAUCAGAGAAUGCCCAAUCUGCCAAGCAGCGAAACCCAACAAUGCAAAAUCAAACGGUCUUCUGCAACCAUUGCCGGUACCAACCAGAAUAUGGGACGAGCUCACCAUGGACUUUAUUACGAACCUUCCAACGUCCAGUGGGAAAUCAACAAUAUUAGUGGUGGUGGACAGACUCGGUAAGGGGGGACGCUUCAUUUCACUAAAAUCGCCGGUGACCGCCACCUCAGUCACAGACGCGUUCUCAAAAGAAGUGGUCCGACUCCACGGGUUCCCAAAAACGUUGCUCUCUGACCGGGAUCCGAUCUAAAGAAGUAAUUAGAUCAAGAUCAGUCUAUACAUUUAGAAUACUAAAAUACAGUUAACUCUGUAAUUGGAUCUACUUGUAGUUCAUGAAACUACAAGGUGUUUGCAGGUUUAAUGUUUGAAGAAUAGAUUGAUGCAGAGAAUCUUGGGGACUAAGCUGCAACUUCACCAUUAAAAGAAAUACUCGAUGGGCCAAGAAUUAAAGAAGCCCAACAGUUUGUGUUAGCAGUCUGUCCCAACAAGAAGUUAGUUAAAGUUGUUUAAUAUCUCAUUAAGUCUGUACUAGUAUAAAUACAUUGGUUAAUCAAUAUUCAAGAUAUAACAUUUUCCACUCAUUUCCCCCUCUUUCUACAGUAACCUUUGUUUACUAUUGCAACUAUAUUUUUAGGGUAGUUUAUACGACUAUCCCUAGUCUUUGCCCUCUUCUGCCUCUAGCCAUCCGACGAGCAAUUGGGCGAUUCCGGCGAGCAAUCCUCACGGAAUCACAUCCUCGAGUUUAAUACGAUCUUCCUAAGCUCCUUCUGGAAAUGUCUAUUUAAAAACAAUGGGACCAAGCUAUUGAGGAGCUCCUCGUAUCAUCCACAGACGGACGGCCAAUCGGAAGUUGUCAAUAGGUGUCUACAGCAGUAUCUACGUUGCUUCGCAAUGGAUCGGCCGAAGGAAUGGAGCAAAUACUUACAUCUUGCAGAACUAUGGUAUAACACUUGUAAACAUACGUCUGGAGUAACGCCGUAUGAAUUGACCUUUGGACGACACCCACCCCCAUUGAUACGUUGCACAGACAGCCCCUUUGACGAUGAAUUAGCUGCAGCAACAACAAGAACUAGAGAAGAGAUACUGGAGUUGGCUAAAAACAAUCUGCUUAAGGCAAGGGAAAGGAUGAAGUUAUCAGCAGACGCGGGGAAGAAGGAAAUCACGUUCAACAUCGGGGACAAAGUAUUAAUUAGGUUACAGAAAUACAGACAGAAUUCGGUGGCUAAGAGACGCUCGAACAAGCUGGAGAGAAGGUAUUUCGGGCCAUUCACAAUCACAGAAAGAAUCGGGGAGGUAGCCUACAGAGUGAGCCUACCUUCGGGAGCCAAGAUCCACGACGUAUUCCACGUCGCCUUAUUGAAAGAAUUCGUGGAAGGUCACUCUCAAGCAGAGCAGACGUUCCCGGAGGACCUGCGCCAGUUCGAGGACGAACAAGGUUUCGAGGAGCAUGGAGUUGAUGCGGACGAAGCACCCACUAAAAGGCAGCGACAUUCGCCGGUAGCGAUGAGUGACUACUGCACCAUCUGAAAUCACUCAUCGGAGAAGAAGAAGAAGAACUCUAUUUUAAUAAUUUGCUUUAUUAUCUAAAAAAUUCUAAGUAUUACAAUUAUAACCCUGUUGGUUAUAAUAUUAAAUAUUGCAACUAAAUUAUAGUUGCUUAGUCGUGUAUUACAAUUAUAACCCUGUUGGUUAUAAUACUAAAUGUUGCAACUAAUUUAUAGUUGCCUAAUCGUGUAUUGCAACUGAAUUAUAGUUGCCUAGUGUCGGACUAUAUAAGUCCAAGAAAUGAAUGGAGAAACAACAAGUUUUGAUUCCUAUUCUAAACACUAGUCUUCUCCGGCGAUCACCGGAGAUAACGUCAUCAAGGCGUUACAGCAGGUAUUAUAAAUUAAUAUUCUCGGACCUCAGCAAUCAGUAUGGUGGAGUACAUCAUUAAAUAUUUGAGGGGAACUUUCUACCUCCUCAUUAAUACCCACUUGGUUGUGACCUCAGUUGGAUGAUUUGCUCUCGAUCAAACCUCUUUCACCUGCAUAGAUUAAUUUUAGUUUUAACAUGGAAGAAGAAGUAUUUGUAUUCUGUAAAAAUUGAGUUAUAGUGGGUAUGUAUAUAUACACGACAUUUCUAAUGCGGACAGACCGUUGUAACGGACAUUUUCUCGAGAUGUCCAUCCAUCGGUUCACACCACCACUCCCGUCCGUUCCAUCCUCCAACUUUGUCGUACGCGGCUCCGGCACGAAUCCAUUUGCAGUCCACUCCCGUCCGUUCCAGUUCCGAUCGCGGAGACCCAUCGCGGAACUCCAGUUCCGAUCGCGGAGACCCAUCGCGGAACUCCAGUUCCGAUCGCGGAGACCCAUCGCGGAACUCCAGUCUCCGAUCGGAGACCCAUCGCGGAACUCCAGUCUCCGAUUGCGGACUCCGAUCGCGGAGAUCCAUCGCGGAACUCCAGUUCCGAUCGCGGAGACCCAUCGCGGAACUCCAGUUCCGAUCGCGGAGACCCAUCGCGGAACUCCAGUCUCCGAUCGGAGACCCAUCGCGGAGACCGUUCACCGGUGAUGGGGUUGGCUUGUACACUGCUAUAGGUCAAUGAAUUUCGAUGGACGGUCGGGAGAAAUUCGCGGAACCAACGGUGAGAUGAAGAGUCCGCAACAUGUCCGUCCCGGGAAUCCGGGAAUCGUCCGUCCUGAAAACGCUUCCUGUAUAUAUAUACCAAGUUUAACAACUUACCUAACUAACACCUAACAACUUUCGUAAACCUUUAACAAUCUAAAGUGAUAUCAUAUAUAGUGACGUCAUGAUGACGUCAUCAAUAGUUGGUUCUGCAUGCAUGAGUAACUCUAACAUUCCCCCUCCUAAAGUCGACUGAGUUACACCGACGAGGUGACGUUGAAGACGAAGAAAUGUUGAUGGUGCCAGUGCUUUGGUCAGUAUGUCCACUGAUUAGUACUUAAAAUAUGCUCUACAAUAAACUCACAGUUCGUUCGCGGACGAAGUGGAAGUCGAGUGCAACAUGUUUGAGUUUAAUAUGCCCAAUGAGAUUAUGUGCAAUGAAAGAGGCACUAAGAUUGUUCUUGUAGAUUUUUUGAGGAGAAGGUACCUACACUCCCAUUUCUUCUAACAUGCCCUAGACUGCUUCAAGCUCUUGAGUCGUGGCCACGAUUGCCCGAUAUCCUGCCUCGGUUGUUGAACGAGCGACGGUAGGUUGCUUUCGAGAGAGCCAUGACACAAGUGUCACUCCGACAUAUAUGAGGAACCUCGUUCUGCUUUUUCUGUCAUCCGUGUCUCCCCCAAUCUGCGUCACAAAAUGCCGUGAUGCCCCUUCCGUUCAUCUUCCUAAAAAUGAUGCCAUGAUUAGGUGUACCGGACAGAAAACGAAGUACUUUCUUCAUUGCGACCCAGUGAGCCUCCUCCGGGGAUGCCAUGAACUGAGACAAACGAUUCACCGCAAAUUAAAUAUCUGGACGUGUGAGAGUUAUGUAUUGAAAGGAACCAACAAUCCUUUCGAUAUUCUUUUGCAUUGACUACUCUAACAAUGUCAAUCAAUUAAUUAAUAAUGAUUUUCUGUACAGUGCUUUAGUCAAAGAAGCAUUUAAAUCUUAGGUACUUAGUCGCAAUUUUGAAGAAGAAAAUAUCAAUGAUACAUCGUCUUUGGUUUUGUCUUUUAUGCUCAUGUUUUUUCACUCCUUCAAAAACUAUGAUUUCAUUGAGGUUAUUUCACUAUAUCGAAAGACUCGAAAAUAUAUCUAGUUUGAAUUGAUCACAGUUGAUCUUUGAACGACUAAUAUUUAAAAAUAUGGAGUCUGCUUGCUAUUCUACAUGUCCAAAGACGUGAAAAGAAUGGUGAUCGAGUCGGGGAAGUACAUUCAUGGUUGUGUCUUUUUUUUCAAUUUAAGUAUUUGUAAGAUUAUGUCCUAGCCCUAUUUUUAUUUGAACAAUGGAAGCCUAAUGUAUUGUUAAUAUAUAACUGAUUUAUAUUUUUUUCGAAUCUUUUUAUGAGAGCAUACCACAUUAUUUCCUGCUAAUUCACCACAGAAGCGUAUAAUUUUUCAAUGAUAUGAAAGACUUCCUGAGCGGAAGAAUCGCACUAUUGCGUCUCUCAGUAAUAAUGAGGUAUUGAUUUGGACAUUUUUAUUUUGAUUAGUAAUAUAAUGUUAAAACUUAUUUAAUUUGUUUUUACAGGUGUCUAAAUUUCCCCUUGUUGGUGCUAUAGACCGAACUAGUCGCCUUAAGGGCCCGGGCGCGCGAAUGGGCCAGGGGGAACGAAUGGGCCGGCAAGCCCACGAGGCCCAAAAGCAAGCAGAGCACUAUAAAUACCUCCACUGGUCCACUAGGGGAGGGGGUUGAUGAUUCUAAGAGUAAACACUUGUAUUGAGUUGAGGUAAUGAGUUUGCACCAACGAGCUCACACACCAACAGUGGUGAACCUGACGUGAAACGAACACAUCGGAGAGCUCACGAAGAGUGGGACACUCAGGAAGAAAGGCUACGCAUGGAAAUGGAGGAGAUCAGGUACGGGUGGGAGUCACUCAGGAGAAGCAGGCGUAGCGGGCCCCCAUCCCCACUCAAGGAGAGAAGGUCAAGCAGGUCACGACCCCACGGGAGGACCCGGAGGCAGUACAACCCUGGCGGUGGGCGGAGCAGGGGGAGGCCCUGGCACAACACUUGCUAGAUGAGGAGUAUCCCUCUGGCUGGAGAGCCCUGAAGAUCCCCUACUACAAGGGGGACACCGACCGGGAAGACCACCUCUACUCGUUCAAAACCAACAUGGAGGACAGAACAAGCCGAAAAGACAUUUGGUGCCGGAUGUUCCGCAGGGCCCUCACGGGCGACGCGGUCGCAUGGUACAGGAUGCUGCCCACAGGGUCCGUGGACACCUACGAAAGCCUGGUGGGAUUGUUCCGGGCGGCUUUCUCGCACCGACGAAGGAGGCUCAAAAUCAAGAUCACCCUCAGCGCCAUCACAUAGGGAGAGUUCGAGAGCACGCGCGCGUACAUGGACUGGUUUGCGGGCGAAGUGCAGAAUAUUGAAGGGAUAUCAGAGGAGACGGUCCUAUACGCCCUCACCGACAGCUUUAGGCCAACCUUCUUCGCGGGGGACCUGGUGCGGAAGCCACCGAACACGUUCGCGGAAGCCAUGGAAAGGUCCCACGGAGAAUCCAACACGGAGGACUUCCUGGGGGCGAAAAUCCAAGAAUACAAGCGACAACAGAAGGGAAAGGGCGCCCCCCCCCCCCGGGCGGAGGCGGACAACAACAUCCACACCAACAUCAGCAGCCGCAGACCAAGCCCCCGGCCGCCCCGCAGGUGACUGCGUACAAGACAGGUGCCCCCGGAGGAGGAGGGCGAAGGGAGCCAGGGCUGGUCAUGGUAAGACAGGCGGACGCAGGGUGGAGGAUGUGCGUCAACUUCACGAACCUCAACAAAGCAUGUCCCAAGGAUAGCCACCCGUUACCAUCGGUGGACAGGCUGGUGGACCAGAGCUCCGGGUGCAAACUGUUGAGCUUCAUGAACGUACACUCGGGAUACAAUUAAAUGCCCAUGGCAAGGGGGGACGAGGAGAAGACGUCUUUCAUCACGGAGAUGGGCACGUUCUGCUUCAAGGUAAUCCCGUUCGGCCUGAGAAAUGCGGGGGUUAUAUUCCAGAGGCUAAGGGACAAGGUAUUCGGGGAGCAGAUAUGCAGGAACGCGGAAGUAUACGUGAACGACAUACUCGUCCGAUCGAAGGAAACCGGGACACACCUGGCCGACCUAGAAGAGACAUUCGCCAACAUCAGAAGGGCAGGAUUAAAAUUGAAGGCGAAAAAAUGCGCGUUCGGGGUGAAGGAAGGGCAUUUCCUGGGCUUCCGAAUCACACCAGAGGGGAUCAAGCCGAGGGAAGAGAAGGUCGAGGCCGUCAUGGCCAUGACCCCACCGCGGACGAUAAAGGAGGUCCAGAAGCUGAACGGAAUGGUAGCGGCCCUGAGUAGGUUCCGGCCAAGAACGGCGGAUCGCCUACGCCCGUUUUUUUCAGCUCCUAAAAAAGCCCGGCCCCAGAGUAGCGUGGUCAGACGAGUGCCCCAGGGGUGCCGACGAAGGAGAAGAUUGACCCUGGCGAAGAGGGGAGAGCGGAGAAACCAUCAGGGAGUCGAAGGGUGGGCGAAGCUCGAGGAGGGCCCGGGCGACGUCAACAGUGGAUGCCGAAUAGUGCAAAACUGCACUAACGCGCAAGGGCGAAAUUAAAACGCUAAUACAACAAAAGCGGAAAAUGCAACGUUAUACUAACAAAGCAAAGGUUACAACGACCAAGAGGACGGCGAAGGCCGAGAAAAAAAACAACAAGUUAUAAAUGCGACAAAGAAAAAACAUAAAGGCAAAGAGCGUCAGGGCAUUCCGGGCGUCGCCUGAAGGCGAGCCCAUCAGCCGAAGAGGCACGGGAGUGGGCGCGGAUCGCGCCGGGGCGGACUUAGCGGCCCGACUUCGGAGACCCCGACAGGAAAUGGCGCAGGUCAGUAGCCGGGAGGGACGAGGACCCACGGGAGCGGCCGCGCGACCGACGACGAUGGCCAGUAGCCUCAUCAGGAGAGGACGCAGGAACCACGACCGGAGCAGGGGCGCAUGCGAGGACCGGCGGGAGCCCGAUGUAAUUGCAGGACCGGUGGGAGCCCGAUGUAAUUGCAGGAACGGCGUCGCCGGCAUACCGGCUCGCGAGGAGAUCAGAGCGGCGAUACUGAGAGAGGCGGCGGUGGACAUCUAUCAGCACAGUGUUAAGACGUUGAGUCUCCGCCACGACCACAUGGUUGGGGACGUCGACGGGCGUCAGCAGGCACAAGGCCCACACGGCGUGCUGAAGUUGCACCUCACGGCCAUACUCCUCUAGUAAGGAAACGAAGGGGAGCAGCUCAAAACUCGAGGCGUCAUUAAGACGAGUAAAGAGGGGAGGUUGACGACCAGGUACGAACGAACGGAGAGUAUUGUUGGUGCCAUGGACCGAACUAGUCGCCUUAAGGGCCCGGGCGCACGAAUGGGCCGGCGAGCCCACGAGGCCCAAAAGCAAGCAGAGCACUAUAAAUACCUCCCCUGGUUCACUAGGGGAGGGGGUUGAUGAUUCUAAGAGUAAACACUUGUAUUGAGUUGAGGUAGUAAACUUGCACUGACGAGCCCACACACCAACACCCCUUAUCUACAAGGUUUUUGGACGGUCCACCAGAUGUGUAAAAAUAUUUUUUGAAAAUUUUACCUAACUCAUUUGAUUCUAAUAAUUUUUAUUCUGAUCUAUACAUUUAUGUAAUAUUUUAUUACAAUUUCUAUUAUGAUAUUUUUAUUAUCUUUAAAUUAAUUCAACUAUCUAGAUUUGUUUGUUAUUGUAAUCUACUGUUUUGAUUAUUGGGUUUAUCUUUGUUUGUUUGUUAUCUAAAGUUUUUGAGAUUUAAUGUGUGAGUGUAUGGCUUGCGAUUUAUCCAAGUUAAGAGCAUGUCGAUUGGGUAUUUUUUAAUAAAUUAAGUGAUGGCUUUUAAUAAAACUCAAAUAAGUGAUGAAUGAGUGUUAUUUGAGUGUUAUUGUAUUUUUUAGUUAGUUCAUGUAUUGUUUUUGUUUGUUUAAUUAGUGUAUAGUUUAUCUUUAGCUUUCAUGAUUCUUCAUCUUUUCUAUUGAUUUAUUAAUAUACACCAGGGAUCAGAGACGGCCGGCCGUAUGAUGCGGCCCGUCAACGGUAAGGUUACCUUCAUCACCUUCUCUAAAACCCAUGCGAUCUCCAGUUCCGAAGCUUCUAUGGUCUCCGAGUUAUGCGGAACUCUGAUUUCGCGAAACCCAUGCGAUAUCCAGAGUUAUGCAGUUCGCGGAACCCAAUCAGAGUUCCGAACGGACGGAACUGGAGAUCGGAACCCAAUCAGAGUUCGGAACCCAUGCGAUCAGAGUUUCAGAAAAUCAGAGUUCCGAACGGCCGGAACUGGAGAUCGGAACCCAAUCAGAGUUCGAAACCCAUGCGAUCAGAGUUUCGGGAAAUCAGAGUUCCGAACUCUAGUUUCGUGGACCCAAUCAGAGUUCCGAACGGCCGGAACCCAUGCGAUCUCCAGUUCGCAGUUCGCAGAACUCUGGUCUCCGAGUUAUGCAGUUCCGGGAACUCUGGUCGCGGAACCCAUGCGAUAUCUAGAGUUAUGCAGUUCCGAUUUCGCGGAACUCUGGUCUCCGAUUUCGCGGAACUUUGGCCUCUGAUUUCGCGGAACUCUGGUCUCCGAUGGGUUCCGCGAAUUGGAGUCCGAGAACACUGUUAACUCUGGAUUCCCGGACUCCGAUCGGAAUUGCAUCACUGGUCUCCGAUGAUCAGUGAUCGGAACUGCAUCACUGAUCAGUCUCCGAUCGGAACUGCAUAACUGUUCCGGACUCCGAUCGUAUUGAAAUAAUAAUUAACUUAUUUAAUCAACUUAUUUUUAUUUAAAUUUUUUAUUGAAAUAAUAAUCAUUUCUUCUAAUAAGUUGAUUAAUAAUUAUUAAAUUGAAAUAAUAAUGAUUAAUUUGCAAAAUUAAAAAUUUGUUAAUUAAUUAGUAAUUAUUAAAUUGAAAUAAUAAUGAUUAAUUUGAAUGAAAUUAUAGAAAUCAUAAUUUAUAAUUAUUAAAUUGAAUGAUUUUAAAUUGAAAUAAUAAUAAUUAAUUUGCCAUGAAAUGAUUAUUUAAUUAUUUAAUUAAUUAUUUGUUUCAUAAUUAUUAAUUAAUUAAUUUUUUUUUUUUUAGAUUUUAAAAAUGUCACGUAGAGUAAAGCAAUUACCUCGUAAGAGGGCUCUACCACUCAAUCCCCAAGAUACUUUCUGGUUUUUUCUCCCGGUUUAUCUUGCACCGACACCUAUAUGUCCAGCACCGGCACAUGUUCGUCCAGCACCGGCCCCUCCCGCACCGCCAACACCUGUUCGUUCAGCAUCGACAACUCCGAAAAAAGUCGUUUAUGAAACAGAUUCGGAAUAGUUAAUUAAACCUUUAAUUAGCUAGAUUUUUCAAAAAAAAAUGAACUUAAUAUUAAUUGAACUAUAAUAUUGUAAUAGUCAUUUAAGUUUUAUCUAAUUAAUUAUAAUUUGAUAAAAAUUUAAUUUUUUAGGAUAAUGUCGAACUUCAUGAAAAUACCCGAUAAAGGUUGGAUGAGUUUAGAUCGGUUUUCCAAAAAAUACGGUGAAGGCUUAACAUCGUUCACUAAUUUCGCCCUUUCGAAUUCGACAAGGCUUACCUUGUCCAUGCUCGUCCUGCACGAAUAGUGAAGUGAUUCCUAUAAAGGAAAUGAGAAAGCAUGUUUUCAUAAAUGGUUAGUUGAAACAUUACGACGUUUGGACGCGUCACAAAGAGUUACCGAGUAAAUAUGGUGAGAAAAAGUGAAACGACAAGAGACAGUGUCGGAAACUGGUAACGAUAUGAUUGGAUUGGUUCGUGCGGUUUACGGAGAACAUGUAGUCGAGAAUACAGUCGAUGGAGAUUUUCUCGAAACAGAACCUCUAGAAUACGAGACUGUCCAUGAAGAUCCAGUCGAUGUAGAUCCAGCCGAUGAAGAUCCAGAGAACAGAUAUGAUGAUUCGUUCUUACGACGUCUAAAAGAAGGUGAAUAGCAGUUAUAUCCAGGUUACACAGAGUUUUAGAAACUGUCUUUUAUCUUGGAAUUGUAUCAGUUGAAAUGCGACAAUCAUUGGAGUGAUAAAAGCUUUCAGAAAUUAUUAUCUAUCAUGCGUCGUGCUAUUCCAAAUGGUAAGUCGACCAUUCCGAAAACCAUAUACCAUGCGAAGUCGGUGGUUCGUGACCUGGGUCUCAAUUAUACGAAAAUCGAUGCAUGGCGCAACGAUUGUAUUCUAUAUCGAAAUGAGUAUGCAGACGCAGAAACUUGCCUAAAUUGUGGAACGUGCAGGUGGGUCGUCGAAGGCGUUCAGAAAAAUAAACGUGUUCCUGCGAAAUGUCUUCAUCACUUUUCGUUGAUUCCACGUUUGAAGAGAUUGUAUUUGUGUUCCAAAAUUUCUGAAGAAAUGAUAUGGCACCACUCCAAACGUAAAGACGACGGAUUUCUUCGUCAUCCAGCUGAUUCUUUACAAUGGAAGAAAUUUGACGAGGUUCAUCCCAAAUUUGCAUCCGAACCUCGUAAUGUGAGACUUUAGCAACUGAUGGAUUCAAUCCAUUUAGUCAGCAAUCUCUAUCUCAUAAUACUUGACCAGUGAUUGUUAUACCGUACAAACCUUCCACCUUGGAUUUGUAUGAAGCAACCGGCCGAAUUUCAUGUUGUCUCUACUAAUUUUCGAUCCGUCAGCUCCAGGGACUGAUAUCGAUGUCUAUCUUCAAUCGUUUAUUGAUGAAUUGAAGAUUUUAUGGACAGAUGGUGUUACUGCUUUUGAUGUGCGCAUGCAGAAAUCUUUUAAUAUGUUUGCAUCGAUACAUGAUUGUCCGGGAUAUAGUGAUAUAUCAGGGUAAAGCACUAAAGGAAAAUUAUCUUGUGCAGUGUGUAAAAAUAAUACUGAAAGUAUUCGUUUAGAGCAUGAAAAAAAUGAAAGUUUUAUAGGACAUUGUCGAUUUUUAGAUAUGAAACAUUAUUACAAAAGUGAGUACUCAGAUGACUUUAAGUAGGAAACAUAUCCGUAAAAUGACUUUAAGUAUAAAGGUAAAAUGGUCAGAAAAUUAGAAGUCUGUUAGAUUUAAAAUCCAACCCAUUAGACGGCUACUUUUAACAUUUUCUCUUUUUUUAUUAGGUAUGAUAGUUAUUACUGACAGUGUGUAGUCUUUUUAUACUUCGCUAAUUCUCACAGCCACCUAAUUCUCACAUCUGAACGACUACGUCGAAGUACCCUUCUUGGAAUAGAACAGGCGGCAGGGAUCAUUUUGUCGUCGGCUGUCAUGAUUGGGCAACCCACGAGACCGAACGGAGUAUGAAGAAGGCGAUAAGAACCCUGUGCAACGCCGACGUCCUUGAGGGUUUUGAGAUAGGCAAAGACGUGUCUUUACCGAAAACCCACAUGAGCAACGGAAGAGAUCCUCGUCAGAACAUCGGAGGCAAACCUGCACACCAACGCACUACUCUGGCUUUCUUCGCCGGACAGAUGCACGGAUACCUCCGUCCAAUUCUCAUAGAGCAAUGGCAGAACAAAGAAGCGGAUAUGGUCAUCUCUGGCCCAAUACCUCAUCGGGUAAAGAAGAAGACCAAGACGAAGAGUCGGAGGAGAAAGAAAACAAGAACGGUGAUAUCCUUACAUGAACUACAUGAAAGACAGCAAGUACUGCAUAUGUCCACGUGGGUACGAGGUGAACAGUCCUCGAGUGGUCGAGUCGAUAUUCUAUGGUUGCGUUCCGGUACUAAUAUCCAACAACUUCGUUCCACCUUUCUUCGAGGUACUGGAUUGGUCGUCAUUCUCGGUGAUCGUGGCAGAGAAGGACGUCCCACGGCUGAGGGAGAUUCUCGUCGGAAUAUCGAAAAACAGGUUCAUGGAGUUGGAAAGAGGCGUCCGACUAGUUCGUAGAUAUUUUGUUUGGAACUAUAAUAAAGGUCCGAUUAAAUUCGAUUUGUUUCACAUGAUUCUCCACUCUAUCUGGUUCAACAGAUUAUAUGAGAUCUAAAUUAUAACUUUGGUUAAUGAACUCCGGCCAUCAGUUUUAGCUUUUAAACCGCCGUCGCCAUAAUUACCAAUAGGCAAUACUUGAUAUACAGCUGCUAUGUCUCAUCGUCCCCAACUUCCGAUAUACAGCUGGUGAUGCGGACGAAGCACCCACUAAAAGGUAGCGACAUUAGCCGGCUGCGAUGAGUGACUACUGCACCAUCACUCAUCAGAAAAGAACUCUAUUUUAAUAAUUUGCUUUAUUAUCUAAACAAUUCUAAGUAUUACAAUUAUAACCCUAUUGGUUAUAAUAUUAAAUAUUGCAACUAAAUUAUAGUUGGUAUUACAAUUAUAAGCCUGUUGGUUAUAAUACUAAAUGUUGCAACUAAUUUAUAGUUGCCUAAUCGUGUAUUGCAACUGAAUUAUAGUUGCCUAGUGUCGGACUAUAUAAGUCCAAGAAAUGAAUGGAGAAACAAGUUUUGAUUCCUAUUCUAAACACUAGUCUUCUCCGGCGAUCACCGGAGCUAACGUCAUUAAGGCGUUACAGCAGGUAUUAUAAAUUAAUAUUCUCAGACCUCAGCAAUCAGGUAUGGUGGAGUACAUCAUUAAAUAUUUGAGGGGAACUUUCUACCUCCUCAUUAAUACCCAAAGUCUACAUGUUUAUAUAAGAGCAGACGUUCCAACUUCUUUUCAAACACACCUCUUCUCUUUUCUUCAAUGCCAACAUUCGGGAUAAGCAUGACCGACGGACCAAAGCUGGGAGGAAAUAGGAUCUGGCAGGAGACGAUAGAUUUCAUCGACCUCACAUAUGAGGACGACGACUAUCGCACUCCACCUGCAACUCGUCAUCGCCUCAAUGACGAUUCCCCACGGUCCGUGUUCGACUUUGAACCAAUGUCCCUUGUGCAUGCAGCAAAUCGUCAAGGAACCGUCCGUCGCCCGCCGAUCCGUACACCUAUGCACGUCGAACCACAUUUUGCAGAAUAUGCACCCGUCCUCGCUCACGCCUGUCCGGAUCAUCAGCUGCCGCCUCCGAAUGACGUCGUCGUCUGCCCCAGUGUGCACUACAAGAAAACAGAAUUACGUCCAUGACUUAGCCAAUGAUGUCAAAAAUCGUGGCUAAUUGUUGAAUAAUAGCCACGACUUUUUUAUUCAUGACUAAACCUGUGACUAUUUUGAAAAUUUAGCCACGGAUGGAACAAUCUGACUAGGAUGUCAAACAAGCCAAGCCGAACUUAUGCUUAUAGAGCCGGACUUGGGCUCGAGCUCACGAGUAUGAGCUCGAAUUAAAAGAAAUAAUUAUUUGAAGACAUGGAGGAUCAUCGAACCAAUGAUCUCUCGCAUGUUUAACAAACGUUUUACCAUCUGUGUUUCACCUCCAUUCUCUCCAAAUAUAAUAUUUUUAUACUUCUUACCGAGUCCAGCAAACUUAACGAGUCAAGCCGAACUUGAGCUUCAGGCUCAGGCUCGGCGGGCUCGCGAGCCCGAGCUUAAACGAGUCGAGCCCGUUGUUUUAUUUUACACCCUAUAUCCGUGGCUAAUUAGGUGGCUAAAUUUCCUUUCAUUUUUUCACUCAUAUUUUGUCACGGAUUUGGAAAAGUCGUGGCUAAUUACGUGAUAAUAAAAUUAGCCACUGAUAUUUUAAUGUAUUGUCAUGGUCAAAUGCCAUGGCUAAUAAUUAUAAAAUAUAUAUAUAUCUAAAUUUAAAAAAUCUAAUUAACAAUAUCCAAAUAAAUAGGAAUUUAUUUUAAUAGAAAUGAAUAAAAUAUUAUUGGAAUGAAUUUUUGGUUAGUUUAUAUAAAUUAAUAGAAAUUAAUAAAAGUUAUUAAAAAUUAAUAAAAAUAUAUUUAAAAUUAAUACUAAUUUAUUUAAAAUUAAUACUAAUUUAUUUAAAAUUAACAAAAAUAAGUUUAUAUACAUAUUUAGAUAGUGUUAGGUAGGAGUGAAAACGGGACGGGUCACCCCAGUCCCGCCCCGGUGGUAACCGGGGGCGGGGCAGAUAUUCUGUCAUGUUUUUCAUUUUUUGCCCCGUGUUCCGUUACCCCGGUCAUAUUCUGGGGCAGGGCGAAACCCGGGCGGGUCGCCCCGGUUUUUAAAAUAAUUAAAAUUAAUUUUUUUUAUUAAUUUAAAUUAUAUUAUAUUAGAUAUAUGAUUAUUAAAAUUAAAAUUUUAAAAAUCAAGGUAAAAAGUUUACUCGUUUUAAAUUUUAGAUUUAAUUUUUUUUAUAAUUUAUAAUUUUAUAUUUUUAUAAUUUCAGACGGGUCGUCCCAGAUCCGCCCCGUUCCACGGGUCCAGGAUGGGUCUCGGGUAAAAAAGUAGGGUACCUGACUCGUCCCGUUCCGCGUCUCGUUCUCACCCCUAGUGUUAGGGUUAGAAAGAGUUACCUAAAGAUUACUAAUUUAUUUCUAUCUGAAUUUUAGGUUAGUUUAUAUAAAUUAAUAGAAAUUAACAAAAGUUAUUAAAAAUUAAUAAAAAAAAUUUAUAUACAUAUCUAGAUAAUGUUAGGAAAUACUUAAAUGGUAAAAUUAAUUAAUUAAUCACCUUUAAUAAAAUUAUAAAAGUAUAAAAUCAUCUUUAAUAAAGUUAAUUAAUAGUCAAUUAAUCGAAUUAAAAUUCGAAUAAUUCGGAUAUCCAAAAGUCAAUUUAUAUUUAUUCGGAUAUUUGUAUCCAGAUUUAUCAAUCGAAUUUGAAUUUUAACGACCGAGAUAUCCGGAUCCGUCUGAAUAAAUUUCGGAUAUCAUUUUUGGUAAGUCUGUAAAUGAUAUAACAGAGUCCGUAUUCGAAUCCUCAUUUAAAUUCGAAUAUGACUAUCCGGAUUCGGAUAUCUGAAUUGAAAUUCAGAUUUUAUUCGAUCGGAUUUGGAUAUUCGGAAAAUCCGCCGAUAAAAUCCGAAUUCAUUUAAGAAUUCCGGAUUCGGAUAUCUAGAUAAAUAUAUAUUAAAUUAACAUUAUUAUAUUUAUAUAUUAUAUAUUUAUAUAAUAAAUCAUUAAACCUAUUACCUAAAUUAUAAUUAUAAAUCUUUAUAACUUUUUAACAUAUAAUUAUUAAAUCCUAACCCUAACCUUAAAGUUAUCUGGAUUCUGAUUAUCUAAAAAUUCGGAUAAUUUAUUCGGAUUCGGAUUAUUCGGAUAUCUGGAUAAUUUAUCCGGAUGCAAAUUUUCAAAUCCAAAUUUUAUUCGAUCGGAUUCAGAUAUCUGGAUAAUUAUGCAGAUUCGGAUACCUGUAUAUCCGAUCCGAAUCCGAUCGAUAUAUAACGUUGCAACUCGAGUCUACCGAAUCGAAUACCUAAGUAUUUGGUUCGGUUCGUUUAAAUAAACGAGUUUACUCUUUCGGUACGAUUCGUUUAAUAACCGAACCUAACCGAACCCGAAUAGUUCGUCGAAUACUGAACUUUUUUUAAAUCAUCCUAAAAAUAAACAUUAAAAAAAAUAAACAUGUUCAUCUGACUAUCUUUAAAAAAUAAACAAUAAAAAAAAUAUUAUUUAUAGUCUAUUUUAUUUUGUUAAGUCAAUCCUUAGUAUCUUUUCUUUUUGUUGAUUAAAAACCAGCAUUAAUAUACUAUAUUAAUGAAAAAUUGUAAAAGUUAUAAAAUAUAUAAUAUAAAUUUAUAAUAAAAAAUUAUAUAAUAUAAGUUUCUAAUAUAAAUAUAAAAUAAUAAAAUAUAAUAAAAAUGUUAAACAAACCGAACCGUUCGUCGAACCUUAACCAAAGUUUGGAUUCAGUUCGUUUAAUUAAACGAAUCUAUUUCAAAGUUCAGAUUCGGUUCGUUUAAUAAUCGAACCGAACCCGAAACGAACCGAAUAGUUCGUUGAAAACCGAACUUUUGUUGCAACGUUACUGAUAUACAGACUUAAUUUUUGGUAUCCGAAAAUUCGAAUAGACAUAUUCGAAUUUAAAAUUGGAUACAAAUACGAAUUUCAAUAUACCAUAUACAGACUUAAGAAGGAAGAUGCAACGUCUAGGGUUUGGUAAUGUUGAAAGAUAAAAAUUUAUGAAAUUAUUUAUAUUGAUUUUUUUAUAAAUUUAUCCAGGUUUCGAGUGAGUCAGAUUUGGUUCAGAUGAGUGGGUGAAAAUGGAUCGGGUGGAGUGGAUAGAAAUAUCCACAUGAACGACCACCUCAUAUUUGAAUCAGGUUUAAAUUCAACCCCUAGUUGAAAUUAUAAAUGGAAAAGAGAAAAUAGAUAAAUGGAAACCCCUAGUUGUUAACCGAGCUAGGUAUUCGGUUCGUUUAAAUAACCUAACCCUAAUAAACGAACCUAGUCUUGGAUUUGGAUUCGAUUCGUUUAAUAAUCGAACCUUAACUCAAUAGUUUGUCGAAUACCGAACUUUUUUUACAUCAUCCUAAAAAUAAACAUUAAAAAAAAUAAACAGGUUAAUCUUUGGAAGAAAAAACAAUAAAAAAACAUUGAUUAUAGUCUAUUUUAUUUUUUUGAGUCAAUCUUUAGUUAUCUUUUCUUUUUAAUUAAGAACCAGCAUGUUAUCGUCCUAAAACCACGGCAAAAAUUAAAACCCUAGAAAUUAAAAAAUUAAUAUAUAUUAUAUUAAUGAAAAAUUACAAAAAUAUACAUAACUUAUGAAAUAUAUAAUAUAAAUUUAUAAUAAAAGUUAUAUAAUAAUAAAAAUGUUAAACGAACCUUAACCAAAGUUUAGGUUCGUUCGUUUAAUUAAACGAAUCUAUUUUAAGAUUCAAGAAUAAUUCCAGGUUCGAUUUGUUUAAUAACCGAACCGUAGUUCGUCGAAUACCGAAUUUUUUUUUGCAAUGACAGAAGGGAAACCAUCUAUAAAGAAGACAUAAGAAAAACACAUUCAAUACAAGUAUGAUGCUGCAGUAACAUGUGCUGAAAGCAUACUAAAGAAGUCACUAAAAUAAAGGAGGACUAAGCACUUGUAAGAUAUGGAGAUUGGAUAUCAUGGGAAGGUCAUAAUCUACGAUAACACUCGUAACAUAUCCAAACAAGAUUCAACAAACAAUCUGCAGCUUAGGCAUUCCACUGUAAAGUCAUAGAAGGAUGAAUGGAUGAUCAAUGAUACACAAAUCACCUUCAAGAUGAAGAAAGAUAAAAGGUCCAAAAAGACAGAGAGCAAUAAACUUUAGUCACUUGUUAUAGCAAUGAUUGAGAAAUAGUUCCUAAAAAUGGUUAGUAUCUACAAUGUGCUCAAGAGAACAUUAUUAAUUUGCUAAAAAAAGAAACCACCCAAUAUCCAACCAAUCCAAACGUAGGAAGAGAUUCGAUGUGAUACUUUAGGAGUUAAACAAGCAUGUCUUUAACAUAAAGAUAUGAUCCACCCCACUUUAGUUGCUUUGCUUUAAACAAGUAUCAACCUUCAAUGUGUGGUGUUGGAACAAGCAAUUAAUAGUUAAACAGAAUAUCCUCCUAUUCGUUAAAUAUUCGAUAACUUGAAUGAAGAUGGAAGGAGAAGCAAGAAAAGUGAUAAACUUACUUUCAUCAUGGUAUGCACACAUUAAUCGGUUUAAAACCUUAACUAUCGGAAACCGAGCGAUGCGCCGGUUUUCUGGUUUAUACUUUUCUCGGUGGGUUUAAUGAUUUGGAAAGAACACAUCAGGGUAUCAUCUACACUCAUCAUAGCACCGGCAUUGUCGAACUCACCACAGUAGUUGGGUGCUGAGAAUAUUGUUACAAGUUGCCGGUCCGCAAAGAACUCAUAACCAUCCUCCACAACCUGAAAAGAUGUUACAACAACCGAUGUUCGAUAUCAUAAAAGAUGUUGAGAUCGCUUUUUCGAUUUCGAUUGAUUAUAAAUUUAGGAUCUAACCUGAUGAGCACGACACACUAGGUCGAGAUCAAGUUUCUCAGUCAACUCUGUGACUUGGUCAGCACCAAAGGUGUAUGAAACUCCUCUAUCGUUCAUCCCCCAUCCUUUAAUGUCUUUACCAGGAUCCGACCACAGAAGAUCACAAAACAAUCCCGUCUCAGGCACAUCAUUAGGGCGCGAGAUGCUUCGAAUCUGAUCCAAGUUCUUCAAGUCGGGGGAGAGACCACCGUGCAUGCAAAGAAUUUUCUCAUCGAUCAGAGCGGCUACCGGUAAACAAUUGAAGCAUUCCGAGAAAACUUUCCACAGCCGAACGUUAAAUCGUCGCUUGCAUUCGUCGUAAAAACCAUAUAUUCUGUUUAUCGACGCACACUCAUGGUUCCCUCUCAGCAGAAAAAAGUUUUCAGGGUACUUGAUCUUGUAAGCAAGAAGCAAACAUAUUGUCUCCAAGCUUUGUUUGCCCCGGUCGACGUAGUCGCCUAAGAAGAGAUAAUUCGCUUGCGGAGGAAAUCCACCACAACUGAAUAGCCUUAGAAGAUCAGAAUACUGGCCGUGAAUAUCACCUGCGUCCACCGAUUCAAGAACAAACACACAAAUUAACGAAAUACUCUAAAAUUUCUAAUUUUUCAUCAUGCAAUUAAAUACCCAAAAAUCAAUUUAUUUCCGAAACCCUAGAGGGCGAUGAACCGAACCACACUUAAUUUCACUCAAAACAACUAGAUUAAAAAAAAAAAAACUAAAUCGAAGCAGGUUGAGGAAUUCAAUUAAUUCCUAAAGAAAGAAGAUUUUUUAUUUUUUUUACCGCAAAUCUUUAUUGGGGCUUCGAGUUCGAGGAGAAUAGGCUGUUGCAAGAAGAUCUCUUUUGACGCCGAACACAGGUGACGGAUCUCUCCCUCUGACAUCUGGACCUGCUUCCCCGGUGUCCCUUUCACUUCCAAUAACCGACUGAUUAUGCCAUCCAAACCGGUCGGAUCCAUUAGUCUCUCCCUCUUCUUCCUGCAGAGUAAAGUGGAAACGAACAAGUUGGAAGUGAGUAGUCUGGACACAGUCAAACAUAACAACUCAAUAGAAAACAAAGAAGAAAUCAAUGGAGGGUUUCAAUGUUCUUCCUGGUUCACCUUCGAGAAGAGGUGAACUUGUGGAGUAUCGUCGAGGAACGUUCGAAGAAAGAGAGAGUAGCGACAGCAAGAUUUGGAUUUUAUACUUUUAUGUCGAUUUUUUUAUUAAUUGUUCGUUGUAAAAUUUUAUUCUUAAGGACGUAAAAUGUAAAUGAGUUCGGCUCUGAGGGUUAAUUUUAGGGUUAGAGUUUAGGGCUAAUAGGGCUAAUUUUAGGCGCAUUAAAUGUUUUGGACUCGAAAGUUCAGAUCCACUAGUUAAUAGUCCAGGUCCAGAUUCAACCUGUUAAUAGUCCAGCCUACUACCCUCUUUCAUCUUCGUCCUUUCAAACACAGACUACAGGCUACAACUCUCAACCACUAAAGGAAAAAUGGAGAAACAACCAAAAUCUGGGAUUUUACCAUCUACAUUUAAAUCUGGAAAAAAGAUUAAGGGAAGCAGUAAUGAAAUAUCGAAAAAAGAAAAAUUGAUAAAGAAAUGCACAACCCUAAUUACCUACUACGUAGAAGAAACGAAAAGAAACAAAAACCUUUUACCUCGCCGCCUAUGAAAAAUCACAAAUAGAGUUAAGAUUUCAACGGAGAUCGAUUUGAAUGUGGUGAUUAUUGAUGUGUUGGUAUGAGUAUGACUGAUUUGAUGUAUCAGUUUGCAAAAAUAAUCCCUAUAAAAACACCUAUAAAAUUAAAAACCUACGUAAAACACUUACAAAAUCUUGUUGUAUAUUUUCCAACUUAUAUAAUCUUUAACUUUAUCAUUUAAAUAUAAAAAUAAUCAGACACGGUCCGAUGAUCACAAAUAAGGUUAAGAUUUCACGAUUGGAAUGACCGAGAUCGUUGGAAUUAUUUGAAUGUGGUGAUAUUGAUGUCUUGAUAUAUUUGAUUUAAUAAUUGAUGUGUUGGUAUGAGUAUGACUGAUUUGAUGCCCCAAUUGUAAAAAUAAUCCCUACAAAAUUGUCAAAACUACCUACCACCUAAGGUAGUUUUAGAGUUAAAACUAAAAACCUACAUUUUUUAUAACCAUUUUACCGUUAAAAAUUAUUUAAAUUUUCUUUGAUAUGCCAUUGUCAAUAACGGGCAAAAAAUGUACCCAUCGUCCUCCCACCUCCCGAUCAUAUUUCUCCCGAUUGACCGAUGAUGAACUACCAAAGCAGUCCACUCUCCCGAUCACCUUCUCGAACAACAAACUCACAGGUUGCAUUCCGGAAGACAUUGGGUUUACGACAAACAUGGAGGUUUUGGACUUCAACUCCUUCACCGGACACUUACCGACAUCCAUCUCAUGUCUCUCCGAUAUCCAAGUCUUCAAUAUCGCGCACAAUCAGAUCUCGGGAGUUUUCCCAGACGUAGUUUGCUCAAUGAGAAGCCUUAUGAAUCUCACCAUCUCCUUCAACUUCUUUUCCGGGUUCAGUCACUACUGCACAAAAUCAUUCCAGGGAUUUGAUUUCUCAGAAAAUUUUUCUCCAAUCCUUCCAAUUUCGGCAUGGGUGUCAGUUCCCACUCCUUAGCCCCUUUCUUAUAACCCAUUACAACACCACCACUACCGCUGCUUGAAUCUUCUAAAGGAAUUGAAGUAAUAAAAUCACUGAAAUUAAAAUAAUCUUUAUUCAUAAUUACAGGACUUAUGUGAGAUUAUUUCCUUAAGAUUUCUAUGCAGGAAAUAAUAAAAAACCUGAGGAGUAUAAUGCAAAAGUUUCAAUAAAACUUGUUAAAGAAUAAUGAUGAAGCUCGGGGUCAGAUACAAAAGUUUCAAUAUAAGAUAAUUGGGUUAAAUCAUAUUGGGCCGCGCAUUGGGCCAAAGUCAGCUAACUAUAAGAUUAAUUAUUAGUAUGUUAAGAUGUAGUUAGUUAAUGAUUAGUCCAAAUUGUAUUAUUAAUAAACUAUGUCUGAUUAUGAUUAAAUCAAUGAAAAGUGAUACAGAUUCAAUUCUAAUCUCCCUCCUAAUCUUCCAACGACUCUAGGUCGACAGUUAAGUCGACCAAACUCAUUUCUUCCCCUGCGCACACUCCGGCCGACGAAUUCGUUCAAGUUCCGGCCAUCCUUCCGAUCAAUCCCGCCGGACAGAGUUUCAAAAUGGUAUCAACAGUUGCUAACGACGUCGACAGAGAUGCUACUUCCGCGAUGGAGACGAAUCAGUGUGAUGAAGAAAAAGAUCUCAACAUAGAAAACACUAUCGAAUCAAGCAACCAAGACAAUAGCCUUCCUGAGAAUGGUUCAAAGAUUUCUGAAUCAUCAAAACGCAAAAUCAGAAAAGUUAUUGUGAAGAAACCUCGCUGUCAAGAAAGCGACAGGUAUGCUAGAAAUUCUCCAUAUUUUUUAACUUCGGGAGACCACCCAAGUGCCCAAAUGGUGGUUGAUAAAUUGAGAGGUGAAGAGAAUUACAUGGCUUGGGCAAAUUCUAUGAGAUUGUCAUUAGUCUCUAGAAAGAAAACUUCUUUUAUAAAUGGUAAAAUUAGAUAGAAAACCCUUAGAUGAUGAAGGGGAGGAUUAUGAAGAUUAGGAGAUGGUUAAUGGUUUAGUGCUAUCAUGGAUCAUCAACAGUGUGAUCCCUCAGAUAGCAUCCACCCUAGUUCAUACAGAAACUGCCUAUGAGGCAUGGUUAGACCUUCAAGAAAGGUACAAACAGAAAAAUGCCCCUAAAACCAAUCAACUAAGGUAUGAGAUCAACACUCUUAGUCAGUCAAAUAAUAGUGUUUCAAUUUUUUUUGAUAACUUCAAGACAUUAUGGGAUCAAUUCAUAGAACUAGAGAAACCCGAUUGCAAAUUUUGUUCCUCAUGCAUCCUAAUUUAUAACAAGAAAAUUGAAAAAGAUAGAAUUCAUCAAUUCCUAUUAGGAUUGAAUGAUGAGUUCAUGACUCUUAGGAGUCAGAUAUUAGCUUACCCCGACCUUCCCACAAUGAACCAAGUUUUUUGCUUAGUUAUGAAAGAAGAAAAACAUAAAAUCAAUUUUAGGGAAAAAUUAGGUGAAGAAGUUACUGCCCUGUUUGCAAAGAAAACAGAAGAAGAAAAGGAAAAAAAAGAGAAACCAAAGAGAAAAGGAGUUUAUGGAAAGAAUGGUAAAAAAUUAGACAAUAGAUUUUAUUGUGAUAAUUGCAAGUUCUUUGGACAUACAAGAGAACAAUGUUACCAUAUAAUAGGGUUUCCAAAUGACAAAAAGAAAUUCAAAAAGGAUAGAAAGGAAGAUUCAAAGAAAACAGAAACAACAAAUCAAGUUUCCUCAUCUUUAAAUACACAAAGCUUGACUGAUGAAGAGCUCAUAAUGCUUAAGGAUUUUCUAAACAAAUCCUCAGGUAUGAAUUUUUCUUUUAAUGCAUCAAUUUUUAAAAAUUCAUGGAUUAUAAAUACUGGAGCUUCCCAACAUAUGACUGAGAACAUCCAUUUUUUUGACAAAACCCCAAUUGGGAAUCAUAAGCACUUUGUCACCAUUCCAAGUGGUGAAAAAUGCAAAGUAACCUCAAUUGGGAAUAUAACAAUAACCAAAGACUAUACGUACUUAAAAAUGUCUUAUAUAUACCCCAACCCCAAUUCAAGGUUAAUUUAAUAUCAAUAAAUAGAUUAACCUCUGACUCAGAUCUGAAUGUCAUUUUUGAUAAAAUUAAAUGCGAUUUUCAGGAAAGCAAAUCAGGGAAAGUGAUUGGACAGGGUAGAUGUCGAAAUGUACUCUAUUUUUUGGAGUCUCAAUCACUUGAUUUUGCAAAUACAGCCAUGGAUUUUGAAAUUUGGCAUAAAAGACUUGGGCACAUAUUUUCAGAGAAGAUGAAAAUGCUUGCCAAAGACAUAGAAUGCAAAUUUUUUUCCUUUUCUGAACAUGAUUGUAAUAAAAUAGAUAAUUUUGUUGCAAACAAACAAAUACAUUCAAGUUUUAAUAAAAAUCUUGAUUUCAUAAAAGAAAAAUGUAAUAUCUGUCCACUUGCAAAACAAGUUAAAUUGAAAUAUAAAAAUAGUACAUCAAAAUCAAAAGAUAUAUUUCAUUUGAUACACAUAGAUGUUUGGGGAAAAUUUCCAAUAAUUACACAUGAUGGAUACUUUUAUUUUCUCACCAUUGUUGAGGAUCUAAGUAGAACAACUUGGAUUUUCUUAAUGAAAACCAAAGGCGUGGUCUUAGAAUACAUUUCAAAUUUUAUAACUAAAGUCAAAAACUUCUUUGAUAAAAACAUAAAAAUUAUAAGUGAUAAUGGAGGGGAAUUUAGUUCAAUUAAAUUCAAAAUACUGUUAGAAAAGCAUGGGAUAAUACACCAAUCCUCCUGCCCAUAUACACCCCAACAGAAUGCCAUAGUUGAGAGAAAACAUAGACAUCUGUUGGAAGUGGCCAGAGCACUACAUUUUCAAAGUGCAGUAUCUUUAAAAUACUGGGGUGAGUGUAUUUUAACUGCUGCACACAUAAUGAAACACUACAUAAACAGAAAUUUAAUUACAGCAAUCUCAAGAGUUUUGGAUGCUUAUGUUAUGCAACCACAAAUUACAAAGAACAUAAAUUUUCACCAAGGACUUUUAAGGGAAUUUUUAUGGGAUACCCAUCUAAUACUAAAGGUUAUCUCAUACUAGACAAAAGAUAUGAAAUUCCAUAUUUCAAGAAAUGUUGAAUUUAGGAAAAAUAUUUUUCCUUUUAAAGAUAUGACUGAAGAAAUCCAGGAGAAACAAAUAGAUAAAAAACCUUUACAAGAUAUAUAUGAUCAAAUCAUAUACUAUCAUGAUAAACACAGAAAAAAUAAUAACAAUAUCAUACAGCCUGAAAAUUUAAUUUCAGACAGCACUAUAUAGUCUGAAAAAUUAAAUUCAGACAGCAACAAACAAGAAAAUAGAAUGCAGUCUGAAAAUCCAAGUCUAAACAGCAAUAUGCAAUCUGAAAAAUUAAAUUCAGACAGCACAAAACAUAAAAAUAGAUUGCAGUCUGGAAAUUCAAUUUCAGACAUCAAUAUGCAAUCUGAAAAAUUAAGUUUAGAUAGCACCAAAGAAAAAAAUACAAUGCAGUCUGAAAAUUCAAUUCCAGACACUAUAUUAGGCAGCCUGGAAACUCAAUUCCAGACAACAAUACACAGUCUGAAAACUUAUAUUCAGAUAAAACAAAAAAUGAUAGAAUGCAGGCAAAGGAAAUAGCUAAAUAUAAAACAAACAACAAAAUUAAAAAUUUAAAUCCAGUUAUAACCAGACCAAACAAAACAAAAAUAAUAAACAUAAACUCAUUAAACAUACCUGAAUAUAAUCAGGCUAAUGAAGAGGAAAACCUAAAUUCACGAACAGAUGUAAAUUCAUUGGAUAUACCUGAAAAUAUUCAGGCCAAUGAAGAUCAAACCAUAAGUUCCUAUAACCUGUCUGAAAAUGAAUUAAAUAAAGAAACUCAGACAGAAACAAACAACAACUCUCAGGAAUCAUUGGAUAGGCAAAAACAAAAACCCAGAGCAACAACAAAGCUCUGGACAGGGUAAUCUAGACAGACCAACUGAAAAUAAGGCUUUACAACCAACAAGCCAUAAAACCAGCUUGUAAGGAAGGAAAAUAGUAAAACCAAAAUAUUUUCAGGAUUUUAUCUUACAAAAUAAAAAAAUAAAACAAAAUGAGCCUAAAUACCCAAUGAGCAACCAUGUUUCAUAUAAUAAAAUAAGUAAACAUCAUAAGAACUAUCUAAAACAAAUAACAAUUAACAAUGAACUAUGUUCAUUCAAUGAAGCUUCAAAGGAUCCAAAAUGGAUUGAAGCAAUGGAAAAUGAAAUGAGAGCAUUAAAAAAAAAUAACACUUGGACUCUCACAUAUCUUCCUAAAAACAGAAAAUCCAUUGGAUCAAAAUGGAUUUAUAAAAUUAAAUACAAACCAGAUGGUCAAGUAGAAAGAUAUAAAGCAAGGCUUGUUGCAAAAAAUUUUACACAAAAAGAGGGUUUUGAUUUUUUUGAAACCUUUGCACCAGUAGUGAAAAUGGUGACUAUAAAAAUCAUAAUAGCAGUUGCUUCAAUGAAAAGUUGGAAUUUAUACCAACUAGAUGUAAACAAUGCAUUCUUGCAUGAUGAAUUGAAUGAAGAGGUUUAUUUAAAACCUCCACAAGGCUUAUUAGAAGAAAAUGAUAAAAGAGUAUGUAAACUAAAUAAGUCAUUAUAUGGGCUUAAACAAGCUUCAAGAAGCUGGUUUGAGAAACUAAGAGGAGUACUCUUAGAGAUUGGCUUUUCCCAAGCAAAAUCUGAUUAUUCUCUUUUCAUUAGAGAGAAAAACCAAAACAUUUUAUAUCUCAUUGUAUAUGUGGAUGAUAUCAUCAUCACAGGUAGCAAUGAGCUAGAAAUUGGAAUUAUAAAAGUUCAAUUAGAAAACCAAUUUAAACUGAAAGAUCUUUGAAAAUUAAAUUAUUUUUUAGGCAUCGAGGUGUCAUAUUCACCUCAAGGCAUAUAUCUUUCUCAAAGGAAAUAUGCAUUAGGAAUUCUAGAAGAAUCUGGCCUCUCUGGUGCAAAACCUUCCAAAAUACCAAUGGAAAAGUUUAUAGACUUAAAGAAUGAUAAAUCCAAAUUAAUUCAGAACCCAACUUUCUACAGAAAGAUGAUUGGUGAAUUGAUAUACCUAAACAUAACAAGGCCAGACUUAAGUUUCUCAGUAAACUGGUUAAGCCAGUUCAUGCAUGAACCAAAAGAAGUUCAUCUUAGAAAUACAAGCAUGACCCAGGGCAAGGGCUACUAUACAGUAGAAAUACAAGCAUGACAGUUAGAGCAUAUUAUGAUGCUGACUGGGCAGUCUGCUAAAUUAGCAGAAAAUCAUUAACAGGCUUUUGUAUUAUGUUGGGAAACUCAUUAGUCUCCUGGAAAACCAAAAAGCAAGUCACAAUAGCCAGAUCAUCAUGUGAGGCAGAGUACAGAGCUAUAGCUCAAGUAACCUGUGAAAUUAUAUGGAUUUAUCAACUAAUGGAUGAACUUAAAAUCAGAAUAAUAAAACCCACAGAACUCUAUUGUGAUAACAAGUCUGCUAUUCAUCUAACAAAUAACCCAGUCUUCCAUGAGAGAACAAAACACAUAGAGGUGGAUUGUCAUUUUAUAAGGGAAAUGAUAAACCAAAAGAGAAUAUUACUAAAACAAAUUGGAACUAAGUUCCAACAGGCAGAUUUUCUCACAAAAGCACUUGGUGAGAAAGAAAUUAAAGAUUUUCACUCCAAGCUUGGAAUAUUAGAUAUAUAUUCCAAGGCUUGAGGGGGGGUAAAGAAAUUGAAGUAAUAAAAUCACUGAAAUUAAAAUAAUCUUUAUUCAUAAUUACAGGACUUAUGUGAGAUAUUUCCUUAAGAUUUCUAUGCAGGAAAUAAUAAAGAACCUGAGGCAUAUAAUGCAAAAGUUUCAAUAAAACAUGUUAAAGAAUAAUGAUGAAACUCGGGGACAAAGAUACAAAAGUUUCAAUAUAAGAUAAUUGGGCUAAAUCAUAUAAGCACUGGGAAAAAGUCAGCUAACUAUAAGAUUAAUUAUUAGUAUGUUAAGAUGUAGUUAGUUAAUGAUUAGUCCAAAUUGUAUUAUAAAUAAACUAUGUAUGAUUAUGAUUAAAUCAAUGAAAAGUGAUACAGAUUCAAUUCUAAUCUCCCUCCUAAUCUUCCAACGACUCUAGGUCGACAGUUAAGUCGACCAAACUCAUUUCUUCCCCUGCGCACACUCCGGCCGACGAAUUCGUUCAAGUUCCGGCCAUCCUUCCGAUCAAUCCCGUCGGACAGAGUUUCAAGAUCUUCAAUCUCGAAAAAAGGUUUCUUUUCUACCACAGGUGGUGGCUCUGAUUUCACGCUCAAGGAAUCCUUCUUCCCCCUGCGGGAGGAUCUGGAAGAUACUCCUUUCCUUGCGCAGGUUAUGUGAGUCGAGAUUGACGAACGAGGAAGAGCAUGGAAAGUGGAAAAGAGGCCGAUAACGACGCUAUCUGUGUCAGUUCCCCCUCCAAUCUUGCCCCUCCGAACCCAUUCCAGUCCGUACACGCUCUCUUCUCCGGGCGUCCUCCUCCGUUGCUGGCUUCUGUAGAAGGGAUUGGGGCAGAAGAAAAUAAGAAGAUCGGGUUUGUCGGGUCAUUAUAACGAGUUACCGGGUAUGGGUAAACCCAACAUAAUUUACUAAUGAGGGACAAAUUAGGAAAAUUUACUCCCUAACACACCCUAACCACCUAAUGACUAGGCUUGGUGGUUACUUUUGACCACCAAGCCGUCUUAGGUGGUUAGUUUUAAGUUUUAACACUUACCCUAAAAUUAAACACCUACCUAAAACACCUACAAAAUCGCAAACACUAUUAUUGUCAUAAGAUGUGCGGUCAAGAUUCCCCGGUCGAUCACAUCUAAUUCUUGUUGUAUAUUUUAUUAGGGCAAAAUUCUGGUGCAAUAUAACUAUAUGCGCUAUCUGCGCCGUAUCAAUCCUGGCCGUUGGUAUAAGUUGAUGGAAUGUCAGUCGUGUGUUAUAUAGUAGUAGUAUAAUGGUGUGAUUAACGUUUACAUGCUGGAUAAUAGAAUGUGACAUGAAUAAAUUAAUAGAUAGUUAAUUAAUAACAGGAAGCCUAUGUAUGAACCUAUGUCGUAUUAUCUUGUCAACGGUUGUUUGACUUGGAAGAAAGAAGGAAAUUAUCUCCAAGGAGACGCGACUAUUAAUCCCUUCAACAACCAAUAUAAGUAGGAUUUUGUUUUCUUCAUCUUCUUCGGUUUCAUUUGUCGUUCGUCGUCGCCGUUGUAGUGAAGUGGACAUCGGAAGUUGCAGAGCGUGCACCAUACGACGAUCGGAUUUGGCUUCUCUCCUCGGACAACGCAUUUGCCCCAUCGUACAUUGGUGGAAAUCGUACCCUAACCCUAACUCUAUUGGGGCAACUUACAUAAAAAUGACACAUGUCGAUGGGGAAGUAAAAUUAUAAAUGAAAAUAUUGUUAGAAAAAUAAAACAUUUCAUUAAAAUGAAAAGAUAAAUGGAAAAUAUUACACGUCCAUUACGAAUAGGUAAGACGAUACCAUACUACGUACUGAAUGAAAGUAGAACGUCAAAAAAAUAGAACUAACUACGUCAUUGAAAUGAAAAUUACAACAUCAAUAUAAGAUAGAUAAGUACGACAUAUAAACGUAAACUACUGAUGCAAAUAACAAAAGAUGGACUAUUCCAUUUGAAGAUCUAGAGUAAACACCUGGUUCGAGCAUAAUACUGGACGUCCACUUCAUUGAUAAACCUUUGUCGUAUCAUAACAUCAAUGAUAUGAGGAAUAUUAGUAUGAGUUGGAGGUGCAUAGGUUGGGAAAGUGUCUACAUAAAAAUGUGUGUUAAAGCAAUACUGUGGAAUUGAGAUUGGGAUGAAGUUUGACGUCACAUUGUUUGUUAGAAAUAUAUUAUCAUGGAAAGUAUUGGAGAACAUAUGGUAUGGAUAUUGAGCUUCAUUUUCAUAAAAGUAUUCAUAGAACUCAUUGAGAUGGUUGUGAUUAAGGUAGUUUACAGAUUCAACUGUAUGGUAGGAAAUGGGCAAUGGAAGAGUUGUCGAGGUUCGUUGAGGGAGGGAGCUUAGUUGUGGGAGGGGAAUCUACACGUCAUUGUAGUACGUUGGAAGGGGUAUGAAACCAGGAAUGACAUCCUCCGGCAGAUCAAAUAGUGCUUGUGGAAAAGUAAGUGAAUUUUCAAAUGAAGCAACUACACGAUGAGGAUCAUGGUCGGGAGUCUUAGGGAUGGCAGUCGUCCUGCUAAUUUGAGAUUCGGUGGGCAUUUGUGAUUCAACAGUCAUAGACAAAUCAGAAUCGUAGGUAUCAUGUAUAGAUUGCGUCGACCAUUCAUCAUAGCUAAGGGACACCUCCGGUUGUGAUGGUUGGCAGUGAGGGACGACUUCUUCAUCAUCAGAAAUAAUGAUGUGUUCUUCAUCAUCAGAAAGAAUGAUGAUAGAAGGAUCAGCCAUUUUCCGACGAAAAGAAAGAGGUAGAUGAAAUGAAACUUGAGGAUAACAGAGAUAGGAAGACCAUGUUUAUAUAGAAGAUGACGUACAUAUUACAUUGUUGAAGUAGUAUGUCUGGGGUAUGAAGUGACGUACUGACACUUUUUGACAAUAUUGGGAAAACAUCCCUUACAUAGCCCGGUCGUGGUGAUUGACAAGCUGAAAUCACUUUGACAAUUAAAAAAAAGUAACUUAAAACAGAAGAGCUAACUUUGGAGACGAAUGAAGCUUGAGGAAUGAAAAAAAUUUGGAUACAAUUAAAAAAAUGGAUGAAAUGGGAGUGAAAGGAAGUGAUAUAAGCGAGAUAUGGAUGAAGAUAUAUACUACACAUUUUUUUAGAUGGAUGUUUGACGUGUGGAACAGUGGACGUUUGAUGUGUCGUACAACACAAUAAUUAGCUGAGUCAAGUCAAGCAUUAAAUAGGAGAUAAAAAAAAUUGUGUUAAUCGAGAUUUAUUAGAAAAAAAAACACAUAACACUGUUGCUAUUUAAGUUAAAAAUCAGUUUUACACAGAAAAUAAAACCAUGUAUCUCGUAAUUAAGAAAAAGAACCUCGUGAUCCGGAUCUGUCGUCGUACACUACAUAUGUAGAAACGCCGUAAACAAUUAAAGCCGUCAGAUGUCAGACGGACAGCUGUGAUUGAAGAUGACGCAUAUAUCUCAAAUAGCAAUAUUGCACCUGAUAAUUUCCCUAUUUUAUUAACCUAUAUAAUUUUUAAUUUAUGAUUUAAAUAUAAAAAUAUCAAAGAUUUUUAAAUAUAAAAAUAUAAACUUUAAUUUUAAACUAAUUGACUUUUAAAUAAUUAAAUAUUUAAAGUUAAACUAUUAUAUAAUAUUUUUAACUUAAUUUUCUAUUAUAUAUUUUACUGUUUUAGAAUUUUACUAAAUUUUUUAUUAAAUAUUUUUGUAUAAUUAUUGUAGUUAAAAAAAUCCCUAUUUGAACCCAACCCCAGACUCGGACCAACUUCAUGAGUCCGGGUCGAAACCAAUUAGCACAGACCGGAUCCAUUUACACCCUUACUUAUUUUACACAAAAAAAAUUGCAUCUCUUGAUUGAUGGGCCCAAGGUCCAGCCCAUGUAUUCUUCAUAUAAUAUUAAUAAAACUUCACAUCCGUCAUUUUUCUGAGGACCUAAACCUAAAGAGUAGUCAUCACGACGGUCGUUGCCAGUGUCUACGACGUCUGCUAUGCUCGACAGAUAUUCUCCGAUGGGCUUGGCUCCCUUUUGCAUGUUGGUGCAACUGUAUUUAUUGUAUCUUUUUUCUUCUAACAGACAGAAAAUCGAAGAAUCAAACAAAUUAAUAAAACUACCUCCACGUAUAGAAGAUGGUAAGUCUAUCAAAUGUUUUAAAAAACAAAACUUUAAACAGAGAAAUAUUUUAAACAGAACUUCCCCACGUAAUGAGUUUUUUACAAUGAUAAAAAAAAAACAGAACUUUCAAAUGAUAAAAAUUGAAACAUAGAGGAUGAUAAAAAUUGAAACAGAACUUUUAGAAUAUAAACUCACCAUUUUUCACCAAGAACAUAAAAGUAAAUCGAAGUAUGUAAUAGAAUUCACCGGAGAGAGGAUUGUGAUUCACCAAGUCUGCCAGAACUCACUGUCCUUACUGCGCUUGCCGGAAGAUGAAGAAGUCGCGGUCGCCGCUGCUGCCUGCCUGCCGGAACGGAAUGCGAGAAAUCGGAACGAUUGGUUUUGGGAGAAAAUAAAAAUCGGAAGGGAGGGUUGGGGUUUAAAGAUUUGGGGAUUUUAAUUAUUUUGGAUUGGGGUUUAGGGAUUUAGGGGUUGGGUUUUUUACGUUUUUUUUCAUUUCGUUAUAAUUUAAACUUUAUUUUUAAAAAUAUAUAAGGUAAAAUAAAAAUUAUCCAUUUAGGACGGUUUUUUCAUAAACCGUACCUAAUUUCACAUUUAGGGACGGUUUUUCAUAGACCGUCUUUAAUUGUUUUUCAAAAAAAAUCAAAAUAUUUAGAGACGGUUUAUUAAGGGUGACGACGGUUCCUAAUUUAAAAAAAUCGUCUCUAAUUGUUAAGGGUGACGACGGUUUACCAGUGAGCCAUCGUCAAUCCUAAAAAAAUCAUAAUUAGAGUGGGUUUUUACAAGUUGUCCCUAAGCCGUCGCUAAAUCCGUCCUUACAAGUCUGUUUUCUUGUAUCUAUAUACUAUAAUUGUUUAUAAAACACUAUCUAAUAAAUUGACUCAAUAUUCAUAUACUGUAGUAAGCUUUGAAAAGAAAAGACAAGAUUAUAAAUAUAUAUAAUAUUAUAGAGAAAAAAUCAGGAACGACCCUGAUCGCACGGUGCCCUAAAACGGUACCUGCAUUACCCAUUACCCAUUACCUCUGUCAGACUUCUCCAUCCACAUCCACAUUACCCAUUACCCUAGACACUCCCAUCUCUGAUGUCUCUACAAAAGCCUCAUCUUUACCUCCUCCUACCUCUGUCAAUCGCCAUUAAUUAAACCACGACGGAAGGGAAGCAUCUUGACAGAACCCAUCGCGAUUGUACGAAGAGGAGUUGAUCCGGGGCCCUGUGAUAUAUAUCUACCGUUCCG